RNAcentral lists this long non-coding RNA (62567 nucleotides) under Solanum lycopersicum (tomato). Its description in RNAcentral is "long non-coding RNA (SLYC_LNC001189)". The record is from RNAcentral. Lineage: Eukaryota; Viridiplantae; Streptophyta; Magnoliopsida; Solanales; Solanaceae.
AACUAUAUGCUGUUAUAAGAUUAAAACUUGAAUUAUGGAAUUCAAUUAAUUCUGGAUAAGCAAUACUCAAAAUUAGUGUAAAGUACUAAUGUUGAACACCAUGACGUUAUUACAUGAUUCCUUAUUUUUCUAUCGAGAAGCGAAAGAGGAAAUAAGAAGACAUUGUUUCAUUUCAAUGCUAAGUGAAAACCAAUGUGUUUAACAUAUGACUUUACAGGUCCUUGCAUUAUAUGUCCUGUGAAAAAAUUCAUAAAUUUCUUGAAAAAUCAUCCUUCAUAACAUUGAUACCAUCUUUAGAUUAAAAGAUCUUUCCAAACAAGGCGCAUAGUAAUGACCAUAGCCAAAGCACAUACUUGUAUAGUUAGUUCGCAGAAGAGACAACAUGACACUUAUUGGCAACAAAUUUAAGCUAUGCACUGGUAAUAUAAAAAUUAUAUACAAUCAGUUUUACUUAUAAAGUAAUAUAUGUAAAUCCGUUGAUAACCAUUACUCCAAUGGUAGUCUCGUAAAAAUAGGGAAUUGACUUACUAUCACAUGUUAAAUUUUAUGGAUACGGCAAAAACAUCUUUAUACUGUCAGUGUAUAUAACUUAAAUCUACAAUUAGUAAAAAUAUAUUGUGGUGCUGAUGAAUUCUAACAAAUUAACGUGUUUGUUCAUGUUCUUCUGAAUAAGCUCUUUCAGAGUUUCACCAUUGCUCAUGUAGCAGUUAAGUACUGGAACUAAGCCGCAUUAAAUCUGUAAACAUGAAUUAACAAUGUCUUGAAUGAGCAUAAAACAAGAUAGCAUGUGUUGCUGACAUAAACAACUUUGUCAAUUGGGGUCUAAUAUGUUAAUAAAGUUUCAAUCACAUUGUUUUCCAAACAUAAACAUGCAUUAUUAAUUUCCCACAAUUUAUGCAUCAAGGUGGUAAUAAAUUUAAACUUCUCCUCGAAUUUCCUAAACCAUAGUUCUACAUCUUUUACCCUGCAGGUAGACAAAAUCUAUAGAAAUGGCAAGUGGAUAAUGAUAGGGAUAUCAUAUUGUAAGCUCAAUAUAUCACAGGGUGGAUUUCAAUCCUUGUGGCAAUAUAUGAGAGGACAAUACUGAAUGUGUCCCUUCUUGGAAAAUUAAUGAGUUGUAGAUUCAAGUUGCUACAAUAUAUGGGAUCUUGAUAUCCAAUGAGAUCAUAUGUAUAGAUAUCACUGGAUAAGAGGAUUCUCUCUCUCUAAUUACCUCCUAUAUAUUCUGAACCCCAACUACUUCAGCUUCAUCACAACCAACUUUGACAUUUCAAACACUCAUCACUUUUCUCUUGUUAUAAACCAUGGCAGCUUCUACAAUGGCUCUUUCUUCCCCUUCUUUUGUUGGGCAGGCAGUGAAACUCUCACCCUCUGCCUCAGAAAUCUCUGGAAAUGGAAGGAUCACUAUGAGAAAGGCUGUUGCCAAGUCUGCCCCGUCUAGCAGCCCAUGGUAUGGACCAGACCGUGUUAAGUACUUAGGCCCAUUCUCUGGUGAGUCCCCAAGCUACUUGACCGGUGAAUUCCCUGGUGACUACGGCUGGGAUACCGCUGGACUUUCAGCUGACCCUGAAACUUUUGCCAAGAACCGUGAACUUGAGGUGAUCCACUGCAGAUGGGCUAUGCUUGGUGCUCUUGGAUGUGUCUUCCCUGAGCUAUUGGCCCGUAAUGGUGUCAAGUUCGGUGAGGCUGUGUGGUUCAAGGCUGGAUCCCAGAUCUUCAGCGAGGGUGGACUUGAUUACUUGGGCAACCCAAGCUUGGUCCAUGCACAAAGCAUCUUGGCCAUCUGGGCUUGUCAAGUUGUGUUGAUGGGAGCCGUUGAGGGAUACCGCAUUGCUGGUGGACCUCUUGGUGAGGUUGUCGACCCACUCUACCCCGGUGGCAGCUUCGACCCAUUAGGCCUUGCUGAAGACCCGGAGGCAUUUGCUGAGCUUAAGGUUAAGGAGAUCAAGAACGGCAGACUUGCUAUGUUCUCUAUGUUUGGGUUCUUUGUUCAGGCCAUUGUUACCGGAAAGGGUCCAUUGGAGAACCUCGCUGACCACCUUGCGGAUCCAGUUAAUAACAAUGCCUGGGCCUUUGCCACAAACUUUGUUCCUGGAAAAUGAAUAUCAUAAAUUGAUGGCCUUGUAAAGUUGUAAUUGUGAGUUUACUAGACAAUAUAAUGGAUUUUUCUUAUAUUCCAACUAUGGUGUAGUAUAUAAUUCCAUUUUCCAAUUGCAUGAAUGAAAUACUGCAAGAUUCAUAUCAAAGGGGGAAAAAAGAUGACUAAGCAAAAACAAAAAAGAAAAACCAAUAUACAUUUGGAAUGUGGUAAAAGCUUAAAUCUUGAAUAUACAGACACAGGAACUUAAGGAAUUCAAUUUAUCCUCAAGAAUCAAUAAUAGUCUUAACUUAAUGCCAAGAAUAACAUUGAACAACAUGAUGUUAUUGACAUGAUUCCUAAUUUUUCUAUCUGAGAAGUGAGAUGAUUUAAGAGUACAUAACAAUUUUUCACUUCUACAUCAUUGACAUUUCAUUGAUGAGAGAAAACCAAUGCUGUGUGUUAUGUAAUCUGAACGUAGCAAGUAAAAGCAUCUAUGCAACUGCUUAUAUAACAGAGGCAGGUAUCCUCCAAAGAUGGCAUAUAGUAACGAGUAACGACCAGAGCCAAAAUUAAGGAAAUAGUAAGCAGAAGAUACAAGAAACUAAGAUAUACAUGACACUUAUUAUAAAGGAAAAUAAGUUCUAAGCAUUGACAUUGUAAAAAUGCUAAUGCUCAUGUCACUUAUUAACAAGGGCAGGGGUAAGCUUCAUCAUGCAUAUUUGACAGAACCAAUUAAGUAGUUUUGGUUCAAACAAAUAUAUAUAAGUGUUAAGAAACAAACAAAUUAAAUUGAGGAAUUCAUUUACUAGUAACUAAAUGAAACAUAUACAGAAUGUUCUAUGACUAUAAAUGCCUCUUCAUGACCAUAAGAUUUUUAAAAAUCCAUGCAUGGACCUUGGUUGAAAGAGAAUAUGAUAUUCUGCAUUGCCUUAAUGUCGCCAAAUGCUAUAGUGACUCUUGGAUGCAAUGACAUUAUAUCAAAGCUGCUAAAUGUUUUUACGGAAAAUCUUUUGUCAUUGAAUGUCUCUUUUGUUGUAGUGAUAUGUGUUAAAGAAAUUCAUCAACACAAAUUAAAUUUAGAAUCUGUUUAUCAGAAUCCAUAAAGUUCAAAUCUUGAUCCACAUUUGCUUAUGAAGUAAAUAGAGGUUAAACAUGAAUUGAUAAUAUGAUAAAAAUGAGUUUCAGCUUUUCCUCAAUUUAUUUAGUGAAGGCUUAACCAUAGUUCUACAUUGAAUAAGCUUUAGUGCUGAUAGAUAAAAUUUGGAUAAAUUCCAAAUGGAUAAUGAUAAGAGAUAUCAGUGUAUUGUAAGCUCAACAAAUCAGAGGGUAGAGUUCAAUCCUUGUAUCCACACAUAGGAGGACAGUAUUGGAUGGGUCCCUUCAGUAAACAUCUUAAAAAAUUAGAAGGAUUAGAGAUUGUCAAGUUGCAUUCAUUGCUACACUUAGGAUCUUGAUAUCCAAUGAGAUCAUAGAUAUAGAUAUCAUUAGAUAAUUUGGACUCUUUCCCUCUUAAUUACUCCCUAUAUAUAUGGUGAAUUAAUUCCUUGUAACUUCAUCUCAUUACAGCCAACUUCAACAAUAUCUCAUACCAUCAAACACUUACAUUUCUCUUGAUAUAAACACCAUGGCAGCUGCUACAAUGGCUCUUUCUUCCCCUUCUUUUGCUGGACAAGCAGUGAAACUCUUACCAUCUGCCUCAGAAAUCACAGGAAAUGGAAGGAUCACUAUGAGAAAGGCUGUCGCAAAGUCAGCCCCAUCUAGCAGCCCAUGGUAUGGCCCUGACCGUGUUAAGUACUUGGGUCCAUUCUCUGGUGAGUCCCCUAGCUACUUGAAUGGUGAAUUCCCUGGUGACUACGGGUGGGACACCGCUGGACUUUCAGCAGAUCCAGAAACCUUUGCCAAGAACCGUGAACUCGAGGUGAUCCACUGCAGAUGGGCUAUGCUUGGUGCUCUUGGAUGUGUCUUCCCUGAGCUCUUGGCCCGUAAUGGUGUCAAGUUUGGUGAGGCUGUCUGGUUCAAGGCUGGAUCUCAAAUCUUCAGUGAGGGUGGACUUGACUACUUGGGCAACCCAAGCUUGGUCCAUGCACAGAGCAUCUUGGCCAUCUGGGCUUGCCAAGUUGUACUCAUGGGAGCCGUUGAAGGUUACCGUAUUGCUGGUGGACCUCUUGGUGAGGUUGUAGACCCACUCUACCCCGGUGGAAGCUUCGACCCAUUAGGCCUUGCUGAAGACCCUGAGGCAUUUGCUGAGCUCAAGGUAAAGGAGAUUAAGAACGGUAGACUUGCUAUGUUCUCUAUGUUUGGAUUCUUUGUUCAAGCCAUUGUUACUGGAAAGGGACCAUUGGAGAACCUUGCUGAUCACCUUGCAGACCCAGUAAACAACAACGCCUGGUCCUACGCCACAAACUUUGUCCCCGGAAAAUAAAAAUCUUAAAACAUUCUCAAGUUUCUGAUCAUUUGUUGACCAUGUAAAGUUGUAAUUUGUGAGUUAACUUGAACAAUAGAAUUGAUUUUUCUUACAUCUUAUUCCUGUUAUGGUAUAGUCUUGAAUUUCAUUUUCCAAUGGCAUGAAUGAGAUGCUGCAAGUUUCAUAUCAAAGGGGAAAAACAGGUGACUGUUCAAAAAAAAUUAUACAUUUGGUAUGUGGUAAAAGCUUAAAAGUUGAAUAUAGAGACCAGUAGAGGAACUUAUGGAAUGAUUCAGUUCUCAAGAAGCAAUACUCUUAACUUAGUGCCGACAGUAGCAUGAUGAUUCCUUUAUUUUUAAGUUGAGAAGUGAGAUGAAUUAAGAGGACAUACGUUUAUUUCACUACUACGUACGCAGUGACAUUUCAAUGAUAAGGGAAAACUAAUGUAUAUGUUUUGUCUUCAGAAUCAGCAAGUACUCUCUCUGUUUCAAUUUAAUCCGUCUUACUUUCAUUUUUUACAAUACCUUGCUUCAACUUUUCACUUAACAUGUUUAAGACCACAAGAUUAAAUAACGUUUUGGUACAUUAUACAUAUCUUUGUUUUAAGAUCAUAAGAUUCAAAAAUAUUCUUUACUUUCUUAAAUUCCGUAACAAGUCAAAAUUAGACAAACAAAAUAAAACGGAGUGAGUGAUAUUGACGAGUUUCCAGAUCAUUAAUAGACUGAUAUGUCGUUAAUUUAAUUAGCAUCUUUAACUUGAACAAAAUCAUAAACUUCUUGUAUAAUCUUCCUUCCUUACAUAUGUCUUUAGAGUAAAAGCAUCUGUGUGACAGCUUAUAUAACAGAGGCAGAUAUCCUUCCAAACAUGGUACAUUUUGAUCAGAAUUUACAGCCAAAAGGACACAUAGUAAGCAGAAGAUAUUCAUGACACUAUGGAAAAGAAAAUUAAGUUCUAUGUAUUGACAUUGUCAAAAAUACUUGCACAAUCAUAUCACUUAUUACAGUGGCUCGCAGAGGUAGCCUUCAGCAUAUCAGUUUGACAGAACCAAAUAGCUUUGGCUUAAACCAUGUAUAUGUGUUAACAUAUUCAUUAAAUAUGUAUACAGAAUUUACUAAUACUUGAGGUCAUUGUCCUAGAUUCUAGAACUCAUAAAGUUCAAAUCUUGAUUAGUCUUUCCUUUUUAAGUAAUUACAAGUUGUGAUAAACACCAGUAACAAUAUAACGAGUAUAAUCUCAUAACUAAGGUCUGGCGAGGGUAACGUGUUAGGCAGACCUUACCCUACAUUAAGUGACAUAUAGCGCUGUUAGAUAAAAUCUGGAGAAAUUUUCAAUGGAUAAUGAUAAGAGAUAUCAUAUUGUAAGUUCAACAAAUCACAGAAUAGAGUUCAAGCCUUGUAGCCAAUUAAAGGUGGACAACAUUAGUUGGGUCCCCACUGUAAACAUCCUGUAAAAUUGUUGGACUAGAGAUUGCCAAGUAGCAUUACUUGCUGUAUAUGGGAUCUUGAUACCCAAUGAGAUCAUAAAUAUAGAUAUCACUAGAUAAGGACUCUUUCCCUCUUAAUCCCUAUAUAUGCUGAAUAAUUCCCUUGUAACUUCAACUCAUCACAGCAAACUUCAAAAGUUUACCAUCAAACACUUACUUUUCUCUUGAUAUAAACACAAUGGCAGCUGCUACAAUGGCUCUUUCUUCCCCUUCUUUUGCUGGACAGGCGGUGAAACUCUCACCCUCUGCCUCAGAAAUCUCUGGAAAUGGAAGGAUCACUAUGAGAAAGGCUGUUGCCAAGUCUGCCCCAUCUAGCAGCCCAUGGUAUGGCCCUGACCGUGUUAAGUACUUGGGCCCAUUCUCUGGUGAAUCCCCAAGCUACUUGACCGGUGAAUUCCCUGGUGACUAUGGAUGGGACACUGCUGGACUUUCAGCAGACCCUGAGACCUUUGCCAAGAACCGUGAACUCGAGGUGAUCCACUGUAGAUGGGCUAUGCUUGGUGCUCUUGGAUGUGUCUUUCCUGAGCUCUUGGCCCGCAACGGUGUAAAGUUUGGUGAGGCUGUGUGGUUCAAGGCCGGAUCCCAGAUCUUCAGCGAGGGUGGACUUGACUACUUGGGCAACCCAAGCUUGGUUCAUGCACAAAGCAUCUUGGCCAUUUGGGCUUGCCAAGUUGUGUUGAUGGGAGCUGUUGAAGGUUACCGUAUUGCUGGUGGACCUCUUGGUGAGGUUGUCGACCCACUCUACCCAGGUGGAAGCUUCGACCCAUUAGGCCUUGCUGAAGACCCAGAGGCAUUUGCUGAGCUCAAGGUAAAGGAGAUCAAGAACGGUAGACUUGCUAUGUUCUCUAUGUUUGGAUUCUUUGUUCAAGCCAUUGUUACCGGAAAAGGUCCAUUGGAGAACCUUGCUGAUCACCUUGCAGACCCAGUAAACAACAACGCCUGGGCCUUCGCCACAAACUUUGUUCCCGGAAAGUGAAUACCAUAAAAUGAUUUUUAAAUUUUCAUGUAAAGUUGUUGUGAAUGAGUUGACAAUAUAAUGGAUUUUUCUAUUCCAAUGAUUUUUAGUCCUGAAUUUUCAUCUUCUAAACCCACAAUACGAAUCAAACAAUAAAACUUUCAUUCCAAAAACAAAAGAAACAGAAUAGAGAAUAAAGCCCUAACGAACACUUUCAACGAUAUGGUAAUUAAAAAACCACAGUAAAGGUGUUUAUAGCUUAAACUUCAAUUUGUAGAACAUAGCAGAUUUAUUAGGUGCAUCGUCUAUGCUAUGUUUGAGCUAUUGACACACAUAUACUGACAAUAACAACAAACAGAUAGUAUAUUGUUUGCUUGAAUGUUAAUGUUAUAAAUUACAUUAAUUUCCAGGUCGAAAAUCUCUGCAGAUUUUAAUUUUCCAUUAUCACGUACAGUGGUGUAUAGUGAUCAUUAUGACUAAUGUCUCUUCAUGACCAUGAGAUUAACUAACAAAAGUCUAUUCAUGGAUCUAUGUUAAAAGAAGAAAAAACGAUGGUGGGUACUGGCGCUAGUUGCUUGGAUUCUUUGAAAAUGUCAACAAGUGUGUUUGGAAUUAUCAGCAUAAACAUGAAGGUCAAAACUUAAAAGUUGAAUUACCAUUUUAGCCUUAUACUAAAUUAAAAUAUUAUAAAUUAAUUAAUUAAUUAAAUAUUAAAUAUGCUUAAAUUGUUAAUUAAGUUGAUCACUUAUUGUUAAAAUAAUGUAGGAGAAUGAAUAGUUGUAAAAAUAAUUAAUUAUAAAGUUAUUACGAAAACGUAUUAGAGAAAUUUUUCAUUUCUCUAUCUGAUCAGUUUUAGGUGUAAUUUUGUCAUAAUGUGUAUUAAUACCACACCUCCACUAUCUCAUCAUUAAUAUUCACACCUUCAUAAUCUUUCCACACUCUCAAGAAGUUGAUGGCACUUCUUGGAUCACUUAAUUUGUAAUGUUUUUAUCUUCUAUUAGCAUUUUCCUAUAUUAUAUAUUAUACUUUCUCAUGUAAUCAUGUUAUCUUUAUUUUUUUUAUAUGAGUUUGUUAUGCUCAAUGUUUUAUUUAUCUUUAUUUGAACUCAUCUAAAUUGUUGAAUAUUUCAACUACUAAUAAAUUUUUUAAAUUUGACUUUUUUUUAUGAAGAUACAAUUAAGAAAUGACGUUAAUAUUUCAUAGUGAUGAUGCAGUAAGUGAAGCAACACAGAUUGAACUGUUUCAAGUGGUAUCAAUUUUCAGGUAAUAAAUCAUUUUUCCUUAUAUGCAAUUAAUUAUUUUUGUGUAAGUUGAUAUGUUAUUAAUAAAAUUUUGGUUUGAUUUUUAAAUAAAAAUUAUUUUAUAGAAGUUGAGACGAUACACUUAAUUGGAUUAUCCAAAAAAGGAAUCUUUUACACAAGGACAAGAAGAAAGACUUCUAGCUUUAUCACUGCAUUUCAUGACAAUCAAUGGAAUAUCCUACCAGACAAAAAGUUGAUAUAAUUUUGUACAAGUGAAUCCAACUCACUAACAAAAAAAUUAAAGAAAGAAAAAAAUGAACAUGAAGAGAAUAAAAAUGAAGAUAAAGAGAAUCAAUGGUGUCUUAUAAGUUGAUGAACCACUGUAACUUCAUUAUUUUUUGAAUUUACGAGGAAAUGAAUUAUUGAUGAAAUUUGUGAAAUGUACAUAUAUACCUUUGGAUCGGUAACAAAUAUGAUUGAAAGUAGUAUUUUUUCAUGCAUAAUAGCUAAUUCUUGAUAUAUAUAUUGUUUAAAUUUAUUAUUUGCACUACAAACAUUGUAUAAAGUAUUUUAGGAUAAAUGUGCAACGCACGUUUUCGAAAACUAGUGUUGUUAUAAAAUCCAAAAACCAAUAUCUUCACUUAAUGUGAAUUAGAACUUGUAAAAUAACUACAUUACUCCAUAUCACCAUAUGUAUUAUGAUCUGACUCAAUCUUGCUUAUGCUCAUACCAUAAUUUUUAUCAAGGGGAUUCAAAAUAUGAAAAAAAAAAAAAUAGACCCAUAAAGAAGUCUAAGGGGAAUUCAACUAUAUAAUAUACGUAUAAUUUUAAUUAACCAUUUAUAAAUAGCAUAAUUUUCUAUCAAAUAAGAUUUGGAUGAAGUCCUCGGCUCUACCUCGCUCUCAUAAGUAGUAUAUAUAUUAUUACUGGGAAGCAUAUAAUCUAAAUUACUUUGUUAAGGAUCGAUGUUGAAUUUUCUUUUUUACUUUUUUAGUACUGAUUCACCGGAAGAAAUUAAAUAUAUUCAGAAAAUAGAUAUCUGAAAUUAAAUUAUUUUCGUAUUUUUUUUAUGAACUAGGAAAGAAAAAAAUUGGAGCGAAUAUCACCUGUUAAUCUCAUUGCUUUUUAAAUUGCAAUUUUACUUUCCCACAAUUUGCAAGUGUUGAUUAAUGACAAUAUCCUGCCUAUGAAAGACCCAUGAGCGGUUGAGUGGCCUGGGUCGGAGUAACAUGGCACUUUCUUAAUGAAUUUAAUUAAGAAAUAAAGUUGUGUCUUAUGCGUAUUUGAUUGUAAUAGUAAAUCAGAUAGUAAUUCAUUUCAUAUUUUCCUUCUUGACCAGUAAACUCUAAAACCAGAGAGAAUAGAUGCAUCAAAAAAAAAAGACUAAUGGACCUACAUUGAAUGAGCUAGCUGUAGAAACAGAUGGUAUCUGUUAUCCUGCUGGUAGAGGUGUCAUAAUGUAAGCUCACGAGAUAGAGUGAAAUCCUUGUAGCCAUACAUAGGAGGACAACAUUGGUUGGGUCCCCCUCGUAAAAAUCAUGAAGAAGUUGAUGGAUUAUAGAUUGCCAAGUGUGCUACACAUGGGAUCUUGAUACCCAAUGAGAUCAUACAUAUAGAUAUCACUUGAUAAGAUGAUUCUCUCUCUUUUCUCCUAUAUAUUCUCAACCCCAACUAACUUCAUCUUCAUCACCCAUCAAACACUUAAUUCUUCUCUUAAAAUAAACACAAAUGGCAGCUGCUACAAUGGCUCUUUCUUCCCCUUCAUUUGCUGGACAGGCAGUCAAACUCUCACCAUCUGCCUCAGAAAUUUCUGGAAAUGGAAGGAUCACUAUGAGAAAGGCUGUUGCCAAGUCCGCCCCAUCUAGCAGCCCAUGGUAUGGCCCUGACCGUGUUAAGUACUUGGGCCCAUUCUCUGGUGAGUCCCCAAGCUACUUGACCGGUGAAUUUCCUGGUGAUUACGGGUGGGAUACCGCUGGACUUUCAGCAGACCCUGAAACUUUUGCCAAGAACCGUGAACUUGAGGUGAUCCACUGCAGAUGGGCUAUGCUUGGUGCUCUUGGAUGUGUCUUCCCUGAGCUCUUGGCCCGUAAUGGUGUCAAGUUCGGUGAGGCUGUGUGGUUCAAGGCCGGAUCCCAGAUCUUCAGUGAAGGUGGACUUGACUACUUGGGCAACCCAAGCUUGGUCCAUGCACAAAGCAUCUUGGCCAUCUGGGCUUGCCAAGUUGUGUUGAUGGGAGCUGUUGAGGGAUACCGUAUUGCUGGUGGACCUCUUGGUGAGGUUGUCGACCCACUCUACCCUGGUGGCAGCUUCGACCCAUUAGGCCUUGCUGAAGACCCAGAGGCAUUUGCUGAGCUCAAGGUAAAGGAGAUCAAGAACGGUAGACUUGCUAUGUUCUCUAUGUUUGGAUUCUUUGUUCAAGCUAUUGUCACCGGAAAGGGUCCAUUGGAGAACCUUGCUGACCACCUUGCAGACCCCGUAAACAACAAUGCCUGGGCUUUCGCCACAAACUUUGUCCCCGGAAAAUGAAUCUCUUAAAACGUUCUCAAGUCUCUGGUCGUUUGAUGACAGUGUAAAGAUGUAGUGUGCUACCUGACAAUAUAAUGAAAUUUUGUUUGUGUUUGAAUGGCUUUUCUGUACUGAGUUUCAUUUUCCCAAGUCAACUCAUAAAUCAAGCACUAACAAUGAUACAACAAAAUGACCCCUCCACAUAUGAGUAAUAACUAGAAAAACUGCAAUGCUAUGUUGUAAGGUUGAACUUGAAUUUUCAACUAGAGCAGUUUAUUUAAUUUAAUGAAUUCUCUUUUUAAAAUAAUCUAUACAGGAUCUCACGUACGUAAACAAGUUGACUACACUCUCUAUAUUCUUGCUUUAAGCACUAUGAAAAGUAUUUACUAACAACAUAUUUGGCCAAAAAGAAUAUAUUGUACUAACAACAUAAAGAUUUACAGAAAAUUGUAAAUUAAACUGAGUUGCUCAUUUCUCGCCGGAAAAGCUUCACAGAUGGUAUUGGUAUGCCAAUUUUGCCUUGCACCUUUGAUAUCCGAGGUUGUACAUGCAUUACACUCAUUGUGAAAUCACAAAUGCUCAGUGAAGUGGUUGCUCACCCUGUUAUCCUCGAGUGGAUGCUAUUGCCACACAAUGAUGGCAUGCAUAUUCAAGCAGCUAACUAGAUCAAUAAAUUAACAAAUUGUGAUUGGAAUGAGAUCAAUUACGACUUGCAGCUCUUGCUCUCAACACAGCCUUCUCGUAAAGUUCUUCAUAUUGUGAUGCUGAUGAAUCCCAACUAAAAUCUAUGCUCAUGUCCUUCUGAACAAACUCUUUCCAGAUCUCAUAAUUGUUCAUAUAAUAGUUAAAUGCACGUUCCAAAGCAUUGUUGAAUCCCUGGUCAUGGAACAACAGUGCAACAUCAAAAUUUGUAUAUUUUAUUUAAAAACAAAGGUUGAUGCAAGUUCUGAACUGUAAUAAUUUGCUAUAAGGCCACAAAACUGAACUAGAACUGUGUCUUGGACAACUUUUUACUAAUGUAUUAGGCUCUUAGCUAUUAAAUUGCUGAUACCUGUUCAUCAGCAGUCGCAAAUGUGAAUCCAUUUCUAAACUGAAGUGGGAUUGAGUCAUCGUCAACAUCAAAAACACUGCAAAAUGAUUUGAAUGGUUAAUAAUAAAUCUGAAACUGUAAAAUCAUGAAUGCUGACUACUGAAGAAGUCCUGAUGUUCCGCAUCGACGAACCUAUCAUUCAAGCCCCCUGUUUUCCUAGCUAUUGGUAUCGACCCAUAUCUCAUUGCUAUCAUCUGCACAAAUGGAAUUCAGAUUCAAACAUUAGAACUUAAAAGUAUUGAGUCAUUCUACAGGUUCUUGAUAUAAUAGAAAUUGUUCAGGCAACUGUGGAAUGACCUGAGUAAGACCGCAAGGCUCAAAGAUGGAAGGGAUAAUAAGCAUGUCAGAUGCUGCAUAUAUCAAAUGGGAAAGAGCCUCAUCAUACUUCAAUACCAACCGAGCAUGUUCGUGAUUUUGGAAAUGGUUCGCAAUAUCCUCAAAUUCCCUCUGCACAAAUAUUGAUGUAUGAGUUGACAAAGUUCUAAUCAUUAUGCUAGGAUGAACCACGGGUAGAGCAACAGUGGAGGAGUCCACAGCAAAGUGCAGACAAGUUUACAUGAAUGGUUUGAUAAGAAAUAAGUGUGGGAAGAUGUAACAUACUAAAGUUGAGCCAAAAACAUCUGACAGAGAAGCAUUAUAUCCAUCAUAUACAAUUUUAUUAUUUUUCCAUGAUUAACAAUGCAAAGAGAAGCCACUAAAAGAAAAUCUAGCAAACCCAAGUCUAUUCAUGUGUUGGGGGAAAUAAGAAAUCAAGCUUCAAACAGUUUAGUGUUUAAGUUCAAUAGAAAGAAUACAAGUAAGAAUUGGAACAUUUACCAUAGUAAAUACAAAUUUAUAGAAACCAGCACACCGAACCUCAGCAAAGGCAUCAUCUCAAGAAAAGACAAACCAACCUUUAUAAAGAAUAUAACUGUGGCUGAUACCAACCAUUCUUAUGAGUUUCCAAGUUUUGGAUGUCUCCAUAAAGGUAGGAUUUCUGAUUUGAUUAGCACAGGAACACAAAGAUCUAACUGCUAGACUGGAAGAAAAAGGUUACUGAAUUGUUCAUUCUCAUGGACCCCCAACUGGAAGAUCCAACACAUAAAAUUGAAAACCCAACAGCUUUGUUCCUGUUCAGACGUGAAUUCUUAUAGACAAAACUGGACAUGUAGAACCUAUUUUUCUUCUACCGUAUUUCACAUUUUAUUGAUCAACGAAGUUCAAAAAUUGAGCUACAGCGGCUUAUCUGUGUGCUAGAAUCAACAAAAUAUAUAACGUUGACACUGUCAUUAAGACGACAUGAUGAUUGUAUUUACUUAUAGCAUAGGAAAAGGAAAUCAUUACCUGAAUAUGCGGCACUGGGCUAGAACCAAGAAGAACAAAUUGACCUCCCAACUCCAAAGUCCUAUAUACGGCAUGUCUAAUAAGAUGCACACCCUUUUGAGGAACCAGUCUUGUUAUGCAACCAACCUGUAGCCAGCCAAUCUUAGUUAAAAUAUGAAGGUGAUAUGGAAGUUUUUAUCAAAAAGGAAAGAGAAACCGCAGCAAGUUAUAAUGCAAUAUCAAUUAGUAUAUCCACCCAACAGUUGUUCUUCUUAAAUCCUUAGCUUACUCAUCCAACAUUGUGUUUGAAACUUUUAACAUUCCAUUCACCAUGUCUUUUUGUUUUCUUUGCUUUUCAACUUCAGUUAUAAGCAACGAGUACAUUUAAAUCAGAAUUUGUGAUAUAAGGAUGAUGUUGCCAAGACAGGUCAAUUAGUACAAUAAAUUAAUAAAAUAAGUAGUGCAGCAUUGUCAUAUUGUCAUCCAAAUAUUAUUUAAGAUAAAAUAAAAGAAGUGGGAUGAUUCAUGGAAUCUAAAACAUCACAACUGUCAUAUAAGUCAUGCUAUUCUAACAUUUUCGAUGAACUUAGACUUUAUUCAAAAAGGUUUUUAUUUAAAAUGAAAUGUUUUUAGAGUUAACUUUGAUGAGAUAUUAUCCCAUGUUAACUAAUGAAAUGAACAAGAUUACCUUGAGAGAAGGAUAAUAAACCAUGCAACAUACAAUGAAACUAAAUGCCACACACGGAUACAAAUAUUUAGGAAGACCCACCAGCAUGCUUUGCAGCUCUAGAAAAUUCAUAGUCAGAUUUAAAGGUUAGGCUGAGAAAUUCCAACUAAAUUCAGUCACUGCAUGUAAUCUUGCCUCUCUUUAUAAUCUUAUUCAUGGACUCUAGUAAUAAACACAGUCAUCACUUAGUGCAUUUUUUUUCUUUUUUUCUUCAGAAAAUUCACACUAGUGGAAUCCUCUGAAACCAAUGGUAGUUUCAGCAGCAUUCCGCUACUUUAAACAUUUUUUUGCCACCAAAUCCAAACUUAGAAUCACUUAAUUCCAUUGGAAUGCAAGCUAGUAGUUGCUUACUCUGUUCCCCAUUAUAUUGACACACUCUUCUUUUUAGUUUUUCCCGAAAAGAACAGCACGCUCUCUUUUUCAAAAUUAUCUAAUCUUAGCAUCACAUUUACCUGAAAUGACAUGGCUUGUUAGGAUCCACUUGAUUUAAAAUGAAAAGACAUGUGGAACUCUCUCCAUCACACAUUUAAAGGAAAAUAUUGACACUUCACAUAUAUUUGACCUACAAGUCAGAAAUCUCCUUUGUUUCUUAAAACUCCAAUCAAGUCAAAUACCUUCACAUAAAAUGAGAUGGAGGAAGUAAUAAUUUUCAUAUUGAAUCUCAUAAUUAAAAGGUCAGUCACAAAGUAACAAAAGUAUUCUCGUGUUAUGGCAGUAUAAUACUGACAUCAUAAUCACUCACUGAUAAAUAAAUUACUGCCAUCAUAACCAGCAAGUCAUAACUUAAUAAUAAACAAAGAAAUUCUUACCAAUGGUUGUCUAAAGUCAGAAGAAGAGAGCCCUAGAAGUCUUCUUAAAGCUUCUUUAUUUUCUAUUUUUCCAUCUAUGUCACUGGCACUGUAUUGGACCUUAAGAAAAUUAUCAGAAGCAGGAUUCCAAGCAGCAGUAUCGAUUCCAUUUAGAAUUCCAGCAAAUUUCUUAGAAUGGGAGUUAAUUGUUGCAUGAAGUCCUUUUCCUCCCUGUACAUUAGAAAUGAAAAUUGACUUUGAGGCAGAAAUUCAUCAGGCAAGGUGUAAAGGAUUGACUAAACAUGAUAACAGAUUGUCAAAAUCACUUUUUUCCUCGCCUAGUAGGAGGGAAUUUUUUACUUGGAACAUGCAUAAGUAAUUUGUAUAAUCAUUUUGUAAAUUGGAUCAUUCUACAAACUUAAAGACCAUCAUGUACCAUAUGAAACAAAGCUUAGAACUCAAAUGGAAGUGCACUCAAUUUUCAAAAGAGCUAGAUCCUUCUGCCAAACCACCUUUGGACUUCGCAGAUCUGAAUAAGCUUCUGAUCAAGUCAAAUAUCAGGAUUCAGGUGUACCACCAAUUUGUUUCAAGGUCUUCUAAAGUUUUGUCAAAAGUAGUAUGUUUUACCAUCUUGAAAAUAUAUUGGCCAUAUGGCAACUUAAAUCAUCAAUGAAGACCUAAAGACAUGAUCAUUGGACCUUAUACAUAAUCAAGGAUGUCUCAGAUCACUUGUUUACAGAAGUCAAUAGAUUUCAAACUGAUCCUUGAAGACACCAGGGGAAUAUUCACCAUCUUUAAUACCAAAGAAAGACAAGGAGAAGAAUAUUGAAGAAGGAAAAAAAAUAUAUUUUGAGACUCUUUGGCAACAACAGAAGUUGUUACUUAUUCAUGAAGAUGGCAACAGGUCAUUUCAGGCUGUGCAGAAACUAUAAUUCAGAAGUCAAAGUCCUAUUUAGUUGUAUUUCAAACAAAACCUAUCAUGCCUCACUAGAGAAACCAAUUACUUAAGUAUAAGAUAAAAAAGAAAUGACUGGACAUGCAUGAAAACAGAAUGUGAGAGAAUAUGCUUACGGAAAUGAAAUUCAUACCUGAACAGAGCGGACCUCUUGAGCAUAAGUUGGUGAAACUGUGGUAACAAUGUUAGAGAACACAAUUGCACCCUGGAACAAGAAAGAACCACAUCGACAACGUAUUAAAAAAGUUGACAUGAAAGGAAAGGAGCCACCAAGAUCAGGUAUAACAAGUUAUCAACAGAUAUUUUGCUACCUUCACGGGAUUUAUUCUAUCAUUUGCUGAAUUGUCCUGCAUCCUAUCUGGUCUGUUCAAGUGAUAAGCAUCAAGACCGCAAGAUGUUAAUUCUGAUGCCGGUGCAGUCCCUUGAUACUCAAAAUUAUGGCAUGUAAAGCAAAUCCUCGCUGAGUCCAAUCCUUUUGGCACAUAUAUUUCCCAAUAAAGUGGUGCCUUCAUGAAACAAUAGAAUCCUGAAUGUAUGAAAAACAGCUGCUAGAAGUUACCACAGAAAUUGGAAUCGAUCUUACAACAAAAGCUGUUUGCCAAUCAUGGCAAUGAAUUAUAUCUGGUCUCUUUUCAGCCUGAAGUAGAAAUUCAAGUGCUACCCUACUAAAGAAUGAAAAUCGUUUGAAAUCAUCGUGCUCUCCAUAAAGUUGUCCUCUACAGAAGAAUUUACCAGGGUGCUGAGGUUCAAUAAAAUAAACUGGAAGGCCUGAAAACAAAAAUAAAUAAAUGAUAUAGCCAAACCUACAGGAAAAAAAUGUAACAAGAAAUGGACCCUUGUGGAGCGUAAAUACUCUUGACCUUCAACAGUGCCCGUCCAGAUAUUAUUGUUGUAUAACCGACCAUCAAAAUAUGACUCAACCACCACAUCUAAGACCUGUAAAAGCAUAACCAUUUACGUAAUCCAAAAUCAUAUCAGAACCUGGCUACUAAGGUAAUGAUGUGAAUGUCAAUUUUUAAGCAUACCUUCAUGUCCUUGAUUGACUCAUACUGCAUACAAUCAUAUUUAGGAAGAACAAUUUCCACAAGGUGUCCUUUUUCCUGCAGAGCUUUGCCAAGACCUGCCACCACAUCCCCUAGACCACCUACCUGUGAGACAGUUAAGGAACGCCUUUUAGAUAAUUUAAACAUUAGGAAUGCCUCCAAUACAGUUGUGCUUAAUAUUAAGUAUAUAAUUUCAUAGUUGUUGCUUAAUUUACCAAAACAUUGACCAUGAAAGCUUAUUAUACAUAAAUAUCACGAAUAAUAUAUUACUUUCUAUCAACAGAAUAUGCAACUUUCAGAGGGCAUAACAGACUAACAAAGAACGAAAUACAAAUAAAAGAAAGACACAAGACCACAACUGAAUAAAUACUGGAUGCAUUUUGAUUAUCUUGCAGAGUAAGGAAUAAAUGAGACUGUUAUGAUAAAUCUUGUUCAGUGUACUUGUUUUUCAUACACUCAUACCACUCAUUGGCCAGCUAUGAUUGCAGCAUACUUUGCUAUACUUGUAGUUUUUGAGAAAAGGAGAGUAUACACUUUUACCAAAUAAACAUUAGCAUCAGCCAACAGGAAAAUGAUUAGGUGCAUGUGAUUCUGGUCUAACCUAGAGUUAUCUGGAAUUAUGAUAAAGAUGAUCUAUAACCAACUCAUACUAAUUGCCUUCAUAUUUAAAUCAAGGUACUAUAAUUAAAUUACUUUUAGUAACUUGUCUUUCCACCCUUAGUACAUCGAUGUAAGGAGAAAACAACUUCGUCCUAAAUACAGAACAUACAAUCCAAUAAUCCAUUCUGAAGAAAUUGUUACACAAAUAAAUAAAGCUUAAGUUUCAUAUCUUCAUCCAACAGAGGAUUGUAAUCCACAGAGGUGAGCGAUUAUACCUUCGCAACAGGCGCCAUCUCGGCUGCAAUAUGGAUGAUAUGCAGUCCUGGACUAUUGGUUGACCAGAAAAGAAACUGCAAGUUAUAUCCUCAAACUAGGAAUAUUCAGUGACGAAUUAUUGAAACCAGACAUACCGUGUUGGUGAUGAAGUAAAUCUAAGAAAUGCCGCUAGAAUUUCACGAUCAUUCUUUUCCUUGCAUGACAUAUAUGCAUCACAAAUACGUCUAUCUCUCUUCCAGACCAGUUCUCUUAACAACUUUGCAUCAUCCUUUGAGAUUUUCUUUUCCAUAGACCAACCUUCAAUCAUCAGCAAUAACCGACUCCAAAAUUCAGAAGGCAUCUCGUCUACAGGUUCAUCGAGAGCUUUUUUUUUAGUUUCAUUUUUCAAAUUAUCAAGUGUAUCUUGAAACUCCUUGACAGAAUCCUGAUGCAGCUGAACAUAAGAUUGUAUCUCUUCAUCAGACCUCUGAAGGCGUUCAUCAAGAAGUUUUAUCUUUUGCUGCAUUUGUUCAUUAUACUGCUGUAAUUUUUCAGAUGAAAGUUUAUAGAUGCUAGCCUCUUCAAGAGAUUCUUCAAGCCUGUCGACCUUUUUCCGCAGCUCUUGGUUUUGCUGUAGCACUGAUAUUGCUUGAUCUGCUUGUUUGGUUGCCUUAGCUAGCAAUGCUUGUAAGUGUUCCACCUUUUCAUAUAAAUUUUUGCACUCCAAUUUCAAGGCAGAGAGCUCCGAAACACCUUCCUGAGAUGCAGCCAGUUUAGAUUCCAACUCACUUAAAGAAGAUUCAAGAACUGAUCGUUCUUUCUCUAGCAUUAAAAUGCGUUCAUCUGUUUCCUUGACUAAGCUAAGCUCUGACUUCAUCGAUUGAAGAUCUUGCUUCAAUAACAUAUUUUCUUUCCUUAACGAAUCACAUUGCUCACUCAAGGAAUUUACAAGAUCACUACGUGAAAGAGGAACUGAAUUAUUCACAUGAAGCACAUUUUCCUCACUGCCUCUGCUGCUAGACAACUCAUUUUUUAGCUUUCCCAACUGGUCUUCUAGAAGUUCCACGUGUAUUUUUUCUUGGGAAGCAACUCUGAGCCGUGCAUCAGUUUCUGCUAGCUUCAUUUCUAAGAUAUUGAUCUUCCCAUGCAAAUCCUCUUUCUCUCCAAGAACUUUUUGAAGUUCUUCUAACGCAUGGACCCGAGCUUCAUUGAGUAGAUGAAUAUCUACAGAUUUUAUUCAGAAGGUGAUGAAGUUACACAAUGAUAUUUUAAUUUUGAUGAAAUUCGCACAAACUUCCCAAGGAGAAAACCUUAAAAUAGCAAAAAUAAGUGAACUUAAAGGAUGAAACCAGAACUAUCUUACUCUUUUCCGCAUUUCUUAUCAUGCCAAUCAAAUCCUUAAGAUGAACACUUGAAGGUUGUCCCUCCUCAUUUGAGUCGACAGACUGUUUCAAUUAUGAGGUAUUCAAUUUAUGAUCCCAAGUAAUUUGCACCAUUAGGAUAAAUUGACAAAAGAGAAAAAUGCAAAAGACGUUACCAAUUAAAGACUACAUAAAAAACAAGGAUCUUUUCAAUUUCCUUAUUGGCGAGGAUCAAGACGACAAAGGUCAUUUGGUAGAGCUUAUUUAUGAAGAUGUAUGACAUGCAUCAAACCUCUAGUGAAUCUUAACCUUUUUGCUCCUAACACAGCAAAUAAACUGGAUAUUAUUUGAUGCUCUAAGUUGUUAUACACUGAUAAUAGAUCAUUCCAUAUUUAUGUAAAUGGUAUUGUAGAUAUUUUAGCUUCGUAGAAAUGUAAGGGAGUACUGGUAGAUUGAGAAGGAGAAGAAGCAAAGAAAGGACCAAGAUAAUUACUCACCUGCAUUAAAUAUAUUGAUUGGCAUGAAAUCUCGGGGGCUUAUAUACUCAGCAGAAAGAAAUGUGGCAUGAAAGUCUGGCAGGUGCAUUAAGCUUUCGUUGGUUAAUCUUUUGGGAAUUUUUUAAUUACUACUUAAACCAUUAAAAGAACUCUGUUUUCUUACAGUAUUUGUUGGUGUACAGAAACUAAAACUCUGGUGUAAUAUUGAAUAUGAAUACAUUGGGGACUGACUUUUUUCUAAUGGAAGCACCCACCCCUGCCACAUAGUUCAUACGUCAUAAUAUAAAUUCUUAUCUAUCAAAAAAGCACAAGGGUACAGCAAUUUAGUUCAAAUGCUGAGAGACACUUAGUUAUUUGUUGAUGGCAAAAUAAGGGCAUGUCUCUUCAAGGCACUCUUUGAGGCAUGCCUGAGAUUUUCAUAUAGCUUUAAUAGGGUUAAGGAUUUGCGAAAAGCUCCACCCAGAGAAUUCAAUGGAAGGGGUAAUUUGGAUGACACACCUGAAAACCCUUAUUCAACACACAUGAAGUGCAUAUCAACUACAAGUAUCUCAUACUCUAUUAUCUCAAAGAGCAUACCGAAUAAGUACUCUCAUCUGAACUUUUGGUUUCCGUCGAAGUGUCAACAUUUUCUUCGAUGGGAACUUCCUGAUUUGAAUUUGAUAGGCUUUGUUUGGACAUCUUUUCAGUAUCAGAAUCUAUAUCAUCACUUAACUGUAGAUCAACAUCUGGUGGGCGUUCGAUAUUUAUUGUCUUGGUUUGUUUUUUCUUAUUCUGCAAACUAGAAAUUUCAAAACAAAGUUAACUAAUGCAGCAGGAGAUAGAAAAGGAGAUUGAUUUCAUCUUCCCAACUAUAUGAUCUACUCGACUUCUAGAAAUACAUUUUUCACCAAUCCAUUUAACUAGCUCCAGAUUAUAUAAUAAAUUACAGCUUCUUCAAUGACAAUUUUUUCAUCUUUUGCAGUUCGAAGUUCCAGGAAUCAAAGCAAUUCAAAAACUCAAAUGACUUCUCCACGAUUACAAAUAUUCAAAUCACAGAACCAACUCCUGCUAACAGAAACUAAAGCAAAUGAUUCUCGUCAACUAAAAUCUAAAUAAACCCCUAAAACUAAUUUAAAACCAAAAAGAAAUAAACUAGAACCAUUUUCCACAACACAAAACCUCAAAACACAAUAAACCAAAUAGCAACUGACUCUCCAUUAAUCAGAAAGUCAAAAACCUAAUUAAACAACUCAAUUAAAAAUAAGUACAAUCAGUUAGUAACAAACCUCAAAUCACUGAACGAAACCAGCUCAAUUAUUUCAGAAAUGUAAUCAGCUGAUCCUUACAAAAUCUAAUUCCGCUUAAUUUCAUGGAAAAACGAAAAAAUAGAGAAUUACAAUACCUAAAAUUGCGGCGCUGGCGCAUUUUGCCGGAAGCUGGAGGCAAGCGUUGAGAAGGUAGUGGAUAGAAUCGAACAUUUACUUGUCUAGAAAGAGAUGCUCCUCCGCACCAUUUUUGCGUGGGAAAACAAUUAGAGAUCUUCAUCUCCAUCUGCAAAAAUGCAAAAAUCUGAGCUGAAAGAAGAAGAAUGAGAUAGAGAGAAGAGAGAAAGGAACAAACCGUUUCUUAGAACCAACGACUCCCUGAAAACUAUUUGGGUGUGUGUUAAUAAAAAGUGCACAUAUCUUCUUUCUUAUUCUUAUUUUUUUCUUCCGAAAACAAGUGCACCAAUCUAAGGACUCGGCGAAGAAAAAGAGGGGAAAUAUCUCGGACUAGGUGAAAUAUAAGAGGAUGAUUCAUUACUACGCUAUGCUUCAUGGAGUGCAUAUGUGAUUUCAUUUUUCGUGAUUAUAAGUGGUGAAUGGUGAUGCCUAAAAUUAACAGUUUUUUAUUUGAAAUAUUUCGUAAUCUAAAAUUAUAAGGUGCAAUUAAAGUUUUGACAAGUUUGAAAAAAUAUUUCAGAAAAAUUGAUUUAGAAUUUUCUAUUCUGAUUUCACUUUUUUAUUUAAAUACAAAAAUUAAGUCAAAAAGUUUACAUUUUCUAAUAAAAAUCACAAUUUGCAAGAAUAUCAAAUGAGUGAUGAAAUAUUAUAUGGUAAUAUAACAAUUAGGCAUAAUAUAACUUGACGUCAGUUGAAAACUAUGAUAUUUAAGUUUUAGUGUGUACAAGUAGACACUUAAACUUGUAAAAAAUUAAACAAGUAGACAUAUUCGUCAUACAUAACACCCCACAGAGUAAUUUUGUGUCUUACAUGACAUCCUACGUUUAUUAUGUAAUGUAAGAUCAGCGGCGGACCCACAUACACUUGUGAGGGUGCACGUGCACCUGGUAACUUUUAAAAAAAGUCCUAUAUAUAUGUAUAGACGGUUGAUAAAAUGAACAUAUAUUCAAUUCCCAGCGAAAGCAAUACUUUUUUUACUUUAAAUUUAAGUCAUUUCUAGAAAAUGAUCAAAAUGAUCUUUAACAAAUGUAAAACAUAUUUAAUUCUAAAAUUUUAUAUCAAGACAAUUCACUCAUUUUUAUUAGAAGUAGGAGUAAUAUGAUGUUCGAUGUAGGAUAAUGCUAUUGCCCGAUAAGGAAACAAGUAUUUGGAUAGAUGGGGCUGGACAGCAAAAAGUACUUAAUAAUUUCCUUGCUGACGGCAUUUUUAUUUUGGUCUCUAUGCACAUGCUUUUAACUCGUGAUAUACUAAUAUAUCUCGAAAUAUAUAAAAUUGAGAAUAGAUAUGAUAUCAAUUAGAUUUAUAGAGAUACCUAAUACAUUUCGUUUGCCUUUUCUUGUUUUUCUCUCAUCUCGCUUGCUAUUACUAUAUGUAUCUGAUAUUUAUCCUAGAUACAUGUGAAUCAUAUCAGAUACAAAGAUACAUAUGAAUCUAGUGUUGUGUAUCUAGAGUUAUUCACAUGUAUCCAGAAUACAUGACUAAUUCCCGUUCCAUUUUGUUCGUCCGUCUUUCUAUUUUAGUGUAAUUGAAAGCAUAAAAAUAUAUGUCACCGUGUAUCGUUCUCAAUAUAUGAUAGAAACUCUUGAAUAAUAUUAAAAUACUUAAUUUUUUAAAAGUUCAAAUAAAAUUAAUGUAUAUAAUAGAGAUAUAUGUCUAAUAAGAUAAUUUCCCUAAAUUUUAAUUAUCUGCCCAUAGAUGUUAUCUAGCCAGAGGAAAAUCAAGUUUCAUUAAACAAUAUUCUAUUUUUCAAUUAAUAUGCCUAAAUAAAUAAAUAACAAAAAAUUAUAAGGAAACUCUUCCUAAUAUAUUUGAUUACUUUUUUUGCUAGUAUCGCAUCCAUCACUACUAAAGGUGGUAAAAAGCUAUUUUAUAUAAUGGGUAUUAGUAAAAUUCAAUCUUAAAUUAAUUAGAAAGUAAAGUAUAUACAAAACAAUUAUAGAAUUUUGAUUUAUAAAAGCUGAUUAAUUCCACAUACAGUAUACAUACACCACUCUAUUAUAUGUAUGCAACUAAUUUGGCAUACAACAUAAAAGGAUAUUUUUUCAUAAAACUAUCUUUACUUUAAUUUAGUCAUCAUUUAUUUUCAACAUGAAAUUUCACUUUGAAAUUUAUAUUGUGGACGUUUGGCAUGGUUUUACUUUUAUCUAAAGUUGAAUUUUAAAAAAUAAAUUGCUCACAUACAACAUAAGAAUAUCUUUUCAAAAAACUAUCUUUACUUUAAAUGUUUAAUUUAGUCACCAUUUUUUUAUAUAAAAAAAACAACAUGAAAUUCCACUUGAAAUUUACAUUAUAAGAGCUUGACAUAAUUUUACUUUUAUUCAAAGUUAAACUCUAAAAAAUACGUUGUUCGUAAAAUUUAGAACUUUCAGAAAUUCUAAAAAAACUUUUCACUCAAAAUUACUCACAAAUAAUUUACAAAAAUAACUCUAAUUUUUAAAUACUGAUAAUUUUCACGCUGAAACAUCUGUUUCUUAGAAAAAAAUAAAAAAGUCACAUUUUUUAUUAAUAUUUAUCCCGUCUACUAAUUGAAGAUCUAUUCGAAUUUACUAAUUCAAGGAAAAAGGCAAACGUAUGAUUUAUAUUUCAAUAACAACAACAAAGCAACAUCAUUUUAAUAGAAAUACCAAUACAUUAUUAUAAUUUUUUUUAUAUAAAAAAAAAAAACCUAAGCUAGAUCUACCUAGCUAAUUAUUCUAUAUUACAUAGAAUUAUCUUUAGCACAUCACUCACUUUCAAUACCAAUCUAAAUCGUUUGUCGAUCAGUAGACUCAUCCUCAAUUUCGUUACGAUCAUCUUUAUGAUUUAGCUCAUCAAGAUACUGUUGAUAAGCAUAAGAAGAAAAUCCCCAAAUAGCUAAAACAAUUGAAAUUGCCUUCACCCCACUCAUCUUAUCAUUAAAAAUAAUCACAGACAUAAUCGGGAUUAACGGCGCACCCAACGUCGUAAUCACAUUUGCAAACACAGCUGAUACCUUCAUAAUUAAUCCAAGUAGACAAUAAGUAUACAGCUGCCAACACACACUAAUCCAAAUUAAUAUCAUAAUAUAAGCUAAUCUCCCAACCUCAAAAUUAUUCAUCUCCGUCUUCAAAUUCCUCCAGUUUUUUACUCGCGAACAAGCCAAUCAGAAUUAUACACGUGGCAAAGAACGAUUGACAGAUAAUAACGUCCAUAAAUUCUCUCAACGUAGAUUUUUUAAAGAAUUUUCUAAAAUAGAGAUCUGUUAAGGAAAACAGUAGACCAAACAAAGCGGAAGCAAUUAGCGUGCAUAUAAAUCCGAUCGCAUUGUGAUGGUAGGACGAAGCGUUGUUUGAUGAAUCUAUGGCUAGGAGGAGGGAGGAGAUGGUUACGAGGGUGAUAGAAUUCGCGAUGAGAGGGGUAAUUUUUUCGAGUUUCAUGAAGAGGGAGAACAGGACGUUGAAGGCUAAUUGACUUGAGGAAAUAAGAGAGAAUGUUGAAGCUGGGAGAUGUAAAAGACCAAUUGAAAAUAAACCACAGCCAAUUCCAACUAGAAAGCCAAGAAAUACGUAGAUAAAUAAUUUGGUCAUCAAAGAAGGAGAUUUUGAGUCUAAAUUAGGGAUUUUGUUGUUGUUAUUAUUGGUGCAAUUAAAGAUCAUUGGAAUUAAUAGAAUGGGAAAAGCAAUAGUUUCAGUGAGUGAAAUGACCCAGGUACUUUUUCCACCUUUGUUGUAAUACAACUUUCCAAGUAUCGUAGCUACUGUCUGGCUAACAAGUACAAUCAACGCGUAAAUGCCUAUUUCGAGCCAUUUCGUGUACUUAUUAACAGAGUUUGGAGUCGUUAAUGAUUCGGCUGGUAUAACGAUUAAUGCAUCUAUCUUCUUCGUUUUUGGAUCAUCAGUUUCUUCUUGGACGUCUGCCAUGAAUAGAUCAUAAGUUAGCUAGCGUCGUCUUUCUUCAUCAUCAACAUAAAAUUUUUUGUAUAUAUAAUAAAAUGUAAGUUCUAUAUGGUUAUAUAAAAAAAGAUAAUUGCUAAGUAAUUUAAUUUAGUAUAAAAAGUCGACACACAUACUAUAUCAUGUAGAUUGCAUAAAUUGCAACAUCACUUUUCCACUAAAACUUAAGUAGCAAAUGAAGGAAUUUAAAAAUAUGUAGUACUUAAUACAGUAAUGAGCUUUUUAUAACUUUGCCUUAGUUGGUAUAUGUGAGACCGGGACCUCCAACUUUGGAUGUACAUAAGUAGAUACGAUCAAACUUUUAAAAAUUGAAUAAAUAGACGAGACAUAUGUUCUACGUGAAAAUUUGGUUGAGAUAUGUAUACUCAUUUGUAUAUGACAUAUGCAAUAUGUAUAUUUAUCGAUCCAUAUACUUCAUACAAGUUAAUUAAAGAACGUACAUGUGCACAUGAAAUUUAGAAGACAUAUAAAUGUCAGUUAAAAAAUAUACGAAUAAAGAAAUAAAUAUCUAAGAGAAGUGUUUUUUCUUUCUUUGAGUUGGAAGAUGAUUCAAUAAUGUGAGAAAUCUUACUGAUGAUAUCCAGCUCCUUUUCUGCUACAGUUCCCAUGGCAAUUGACAAACUAUUUGUCUUAAUAUUCCUCUCUUUCUCUCUCUUUUUUUUAUGGAUUUAAGGAAAAGGUUGAUCGAAUGAAUCUCAUGUUAGGAUUCUGGUGGUUUUAAAUUGCAUGAGAACAGGGUGGAGUCAGGUAGGGGUGUAGGGCCAAGAGUAGUUUAUUAAAAUCGUUUCGAGAGAAAGUUAUAUUGUUUAUACAUAAUUAAAUUAUCUUUUAUAUAUGUAUAUAUAUAAUAGUAGAUGUGGAAUCCUCUUUGACUUCUUCGUAGGGACGGAGCUAGAAUACGGAUGCGAUUAAACCCAAUAAUUUUUUGUUCGAAUAAUAUAUUUGUAUUAAGAAAGUAUAUUAAAUAUAUACCAAUAUUAAAUUUAGAAUUCAUUUAUUAACACUUCAAAAACGUCGUAUAAAAUAUAGAAUCAUAAGGUUAUUAAUGUUUUAGUUCCCUGCCAUAGGCGGAUCCACAGUUGCAAGGGGUGUACAUGCACUCGUUAAUAAAUUAGGAUAUAAUUAGCCGUGCACUCAGAAGUAUAUGAGUGUCCUUGUGUUGUUGGUACAAACUAGGAGAACCACCCGUGAGACUAGGGUUUGAAUCUAGCUAAAGACUUUUUUUCGCUAAUUUUAUUUUAUGUUUAGCUAGGUAAUAUUAGUGCACCCUAGACUCUUAAAAUCUUUGAUUCGCUCCUGAUUCCGCCUAUGUUUCUUCGUGUGUUUAUUUUUUGAUAUUUUAGUUCCACUUUGUAAAAAUUGGCUUUUAUCAUUCUUGUCACAUGAAGGUAAUACGUAGCACGUAGCCACUUACUAAAUUUUGCAGAAAGUGUUAAACUUUGGAUAAUUGAAAAAAUUGGCUUAACUUAGAUAACAUUCUAUAUAAGUUCAAAUCAAAGUCCUAACGAUGGAGCAGAAAGUUUGUUCUUAAUUAGAUAAUAGGAAGCAUAAUGGAGUAAUUGAGUUUCCUUCUAAAUAUUAUAACAAAAUUAAAUUUACAGCAAAAUGUCAUGGUCAAGUUAAUUAGCCAAUUAUACAAAUUAAAUAAAAGUUGCCCUCUGAUUUGGUUGAUAUAAUUAGCAAGAAACAAAAAUUAGCGUACAAAAAUGGACCUUUCCCUUUUAAUGAAACAAAUUAUAACACAAGAUUUUUAUAUUCGAUUCAUUAUUACUCUUUCUUAAUUAAAUAACAAAAUAUUAGUCAUCUAUUUUGAAUUACCUAUUAUGGUAUACAACGUAAAACAUUUGAUAACGGGAUGUUUUUUUGUUUGUCAUUUCUCACUCUCACACACUCACCAUUCUCUCAAAAUUAUUAUUCUCUCCGUGUUAAUUUAUGUGUUUGAUUAAUUUUUUUUUAUAUCAUAUGAAAAUUAUAAUAUUAUUUUUUAUAUUUAGUACUUGUUUAAAAUUUAAAACAAUCCACAUGACGUAUAUAUUUAAGACUAUAAAAAAAAAUGUUUCACAUUUAAUAACAUUACAUACAUCUCUAAAAGAUGCUAUUUUAAAAAUAUGGAAUUUGUAGCUGAUAAACUUUUAAAAUUUGUGAUUGAAAGUUGAUGUAAAUCAAUUAACCGUUGAAAUUAUUGGAUUGUUUUUCUUUAAUUAGCUGAGAUUUUCUCUUGCUUACUAUAUUAUUGAGUUGGAUUCAGUUUUUAAGUUCUUCUAAUUCAAAAUGAGAUUAAAAUAAUUGAAGUUCUUCAAUAGUUCUUUCGUUAUUGAUCAUCAAAAUUUCAAAGUUGUUGAGAUUUUUGAAGAAUCAUGUGUAUUGGAAAGUUGAGAAUCAUGAAUACAAUUGUUUUUGAAAUGGUCAAAAAAAGAAAAAACCUAGACAUAAUUACAUUGUUGAUGUUAAUUAAAAGUUUCAUUUAGGAUGAGUUCGGAGAGAAUAUCAUUAAUUAAUAAUCGUGUGUUCUCUCUUAUAGUUUUUUGAUGAGAUGAUCACAUAAUUCAACAUGAUAUUAAAUUAAACAGAACAUCUGGAAUGAGAUUUCACUGUCACUCAAAUUAAAAAGAAUUUGAAUAUUGGUUGGAGCAAGAAUAAUUUGGGUCCUUCGAACUCCAACCCUCCGUGAUAUUUGUAAAAUUAAUUAAAUAUGACCUUUUCCCCUUAAAUAUAAGGAAAAUAGUCAAAAUGUCUUUAAACGACAUGAAAUGAAAAAGAUAUCCUUUGUUUAUGAUUUGGUCCAAAUAUAUUAAAAUAUUUAUAUAAUGUUAUUUAAUGAGUCAAAAAUGCUCAUUUUCCAAAUAAAUAUAUUUUUUAUUUACUUUUUACCAUAUAUUUUUUCUAAUAAUAAUUUUUAAAAUUAGCAAAUGUUUUUCCUAUUUCAAAAAAAAACAUAUUUCAUAUUUUAUUAUAAUUAUUUUUAUUGUUAUAUAAAAAAAUUUAAUGAUGAAUUUACAAUGAUCUUAUAUAUAUGACAUAUAUUAUCCGUUGAAAGGAAUAUUGAAAUAUUUAUUUUAAUUGAUAAAUGAGAUUAAGAAGAAAAAAAAAUAUUUGCUACAAUUUUAUUGGUGAAUGAGAUUUUAAAAAGAAGAAAACAAGAUUAGGUCCUUUAAUUAUAUUUUAAUUAGGAAUAAGACGUAUUUUGAAAAGAAAAUAAAUAGUAUAUUUAUUCGGACAAUGACAUUUUUGACCCAUUAAGUAAAUUAUAGGGACAUAAUUUGAUUUAAGUAUUUAUUGCAAGGUUUUGAAUUAAAAUAUUCGUGACAAGAACAUUUCUGUAUCAAACUAUAAACAAUAAAUAUUUUUAUUCAUUUUACAUUAUUUAAUGAUAUUUCUGACCGUUUUUCCUUUAAAAAUAGGGAAAAGGGUCUGAUAUACUCCUCAAUUUUGUCAUUCGGAAAUAAUAUACCCCUAAUUAUGAAAGUGACUCAUAUAUAUCCUUACCAUUAUACAAACGACUCACGUAUAUCCUUGCCGUUACAAAAUGAGCUCACAUAUACUCUUUAUUUAACGAAAGUGAAAAAAUUAGUUAUAAUUUAUAUUUUUUACUUUUAAUUUUAAAAAAAAAAUUAUAUAGGGUAUAUAUGAUUCUUCUAUUUAAGUGAAAGGUAUAUUUUAAUUUUUUUCAUACAUAAAUUAUUUUUUGACUUCUUUUAUUAUAAUUAUUUGAGUUUCAUAUUCUUAUUUUUUUCUUUCAUUCCCUAGUGUAAAGAAAUAUAUUUAAAACUAUUUUUUUUCUAUAUUGUAAUUUAAUUUUUUUAUAUUCGAAGAAAAAAAUUUGGUCAUCUACAAUAAGUUUUACAAGAAUAUUAGUGAAACAUAAAUAACUUUGAUUAUCAAAAUAAUAAUUCUAAAUUAGUCACUGACUAAAAAAAGAUCAAAAAAAUAUGUUUGACGAGGAUUAAAUUUACUUAUAUGGGAUUAUUUUUUAGAAAAAAAAAGUUGGAUUAAAUUAUUUUUUUUCAUUUCUGUUAAAGGAAAAGGGUAUAUGUGAGUCAUUUUUUUUUAUAAGUAAAGGUAUAUAUGAGUCACUUUCAUAACAAGGGAUAUAUCAGCUCUAAAUGAUAAAGUUGAGGGGUAUAUCAGACUCUUUUGGAUUAGUAGACAAAGGACAAAUUGCAAACCAAAAUUUUAAAUUUGGCCAAACCCAUCGGUGACCGCUUAAACUUAGCACCAAUUUUUACUUAGACACCUCAAUUAGGCGAUUUCAUUUUAGACACCUCGGUAGGGUUCUGUUGUGUCAUUUUGACACUUUUCUGACAAUAAAUAAAAAACUAAAAGAGAAUGUAAUACACGCUUUGAUGAUGUAAUAAACAAUCAAUUAAAUAAUAACAUGUGUUAUUUUCAAAUAAAAAUAAUUAUAAAAUCUAGUUAGUAAAUAAAUUAAAAAUAUUAUUCUAAGAGAAUCUCUUAUAUCAUUACACUCAAAAUCUCUUGUGUUUUUUCAAAAAAAAUUAUUUUUUUCUUUUACUAUUUUUCUUAUUUAUUCAUCUUCUUUCUUGUUAGUGUUGUUUUUUGGAAAGAAAAGAGAAAGAGGAAGAAAGAAAAGAGAAUAAAUAUGAAAUAUGGGCGUUGGUAUCCAUUUUUCUGACAAAAAAUGGAAGGAAGUGAUGAUAGAUUUAGAUAAGUAAUACAAUGAAGAAGAAGAAAAUGACUUAAAAAUGAAUUUGAAUUAAAAAUUUAACCUCCAUUGAAGAAAUUUAAGCUUGAAAAAAGAUAAGAGGGUGGUGGCUUGAAAAAUGGAGAAGAAGAAGAUAAAAUAAAAUUAAAAAUGGCUAAAUUAAGUCUUUCACGCGCUAUUGUUGAGUGUAUCACACUCACUUUGACAUGUCAGCAAAAGUGUCAAAAUGACAUAACAGAACUCUACAUAAAGUGUUCAAAAUGAACAUGAUCUAAUUAAGAUAUUUAACUAAAAAUUGAUGACAAAUUUUAAUGAUCACCGAUGAAUUUGACCUUUAAAUUUUAAGUGAAAGUAUGAUGCCACAUAGGAGAUUCUCCAUAAACAAAUGUUUCCAGUAAUUAGGUGAAAAGAUUAGUACAAGAAUCUUUUUCCAACUGAAAGCAAGUUCACUAUAUCUUUUAGGUGAAGUAAAAUCCAUUAGUUAUGGGUGUGUUUGGUAAGUUAAGGGUGUGUUUGAUAUGCAUAAAAAUAUUUUUUGGAAAAUAUUUUUAAUUUUUUCAUGUUUAAUUAGAUUAACUGUUUUAGAAAUUAUUUUUCAAAUUAGUUCAUUUUUCUCACUUAAGAAAAAUAUUCAAAACUCUCUUUCAACUUUAAAUUACAAUUUAUCCCCCCGUUUGAAAACUCUCUUCCAACUUCAAAUUAUAAUUUAUUCCCCUCCCCAUACACCUCCUUCAAAAAAAAAAAAUUAAGUUUAUUUUUAAGAAAUAUUUUCUACUUCAAAAUUUUAUUGUUUUCACCCCUACCCUCGAUUCUUCCCCUCCCCCAACCAUAAAAAUUUUAAGUUUGUUCUUAAAAAAUAUUUUCAACUUCAAAAUUUUAUUUUUUCACUCUGAUCCUCGACCCCCCUCCCCUACCCGGCAGGCCCAAAAAAAAAUAAUUUGAGUUUGUUUUUAAAAAAUAUUUUCAACUUAAAAAUUUACUUUUUUAUCCCUACCAUCGACCUCCCCUCCCCAACCAGCCCCCCACCCUCCAGAAAAAUUUUAAGCUAAUUAAAAAAAUAUUUUCAAACUUCAAAAUUUUAUUUUUUCACCUCUACUCUCGACCCCCCUAUUCCUCAAAAAAAAAUUAAGUUUGUUUUUAAAAAUUAUUUUCAACUUCAGUUUUUUAUUUUUUCACUCUUACACUAAAAAAAAUUAAGUUUAUUUUUUAAAAAUAUUUUCAAUUACUCUAUUAAAAAUAAAAGAUAUUUCUCAAAAUUUCAUUCAUAAAUCAAAUCCUAAAGAAAUUUGAAAAAUAUUUUCUACUCACCAAUCAAACAUGUAAACUGAAUCAAAAAUCUAUUUAUUUUUCAGAAAAAUAUUUUCUUUCGUACCAAACACAACCUAAAUCUUUUUCAUUUCUAAAAGGUGUUCAAUUAUUGAAAAGAGAUCAAAUGCACGUCGAUCGAUUUCAUACACAAAGUAUGAGCUUUGUCACGUGAAACGAAACAGAAGGAAUAACUCAAAGAAUGUAUUACGAUUCUCCAUAUUUUAUAUUUUAGCUUCAUAAAUGAAAAAAAUUAUGAUUUUCAUAAUAACUUGGGCCCCUAUGGCCCAAUUCAGUUCGAUAUGUCUGAAUUGAAUUGUAUAUGUAAUGUAAGAUGUGUGUAUAUCUAUUAAAUUUUAAGCAUAAUAAAUAAAUAUGAUUUUUAGUUUGGCUUUAACAGAUAAUUAUGUCCUUUAAAAUUUGAGUGUGCAUGAGUAAACACUUAAACUUGUACUUCAUAAAAUUGAAUAGACACAUAUGUCAUACAUGACAUAAGACACAUAAGAUGUCAUAUAGGUUACAAAAUUUCCAUAUAAAGUGUCAUGUAGGACGAUUGUAUUUACUUGUUUAAUAUAUAAGUUUAAAUUUCUAGUUAUGUAUAUUCGAAAUUGAAGAUCAUAGUUAUCGAUUGACGUCAAGUUAAAGAGUAAAGAAUAUGUGUUCCAUAUUGCAAUCAUGACAGUCUGGAUCCAUUACACAAGUAAAACCAACCAAACUAAAAGGUUUUGUACGUAUGUCACAUAGUGCCUAACUAGAUGUCAUGCAAAACAUGCUUCUCAAAAAUACGUUUAAAAAUACUGAGUUCUGGUCCCUACGUUAAAGUUUACUGAAAUUUCUACUUUCCAUCAUUCAAUAAUUCAACACUCCCUUCGUUAUAAAAUAAAUGACUUAUUUUUUUUUAAUUUGUUUUAUAAAGAUUUUUAAAUUUUUUAAUUAAUUUUUCACAUAACGUAUUUAAGGUUAUAUAAUUAAAAAGUAUUUUGAUAUAUUUCAUAUAUUUUAAUUUAGGAUCACAAAAUUAAAAAAAAAAAAGCUUAUUAAUUUUCUUAUAUUUGUAAUCAACUCAAACUAGAUCAUCCUUUUUGAAACUAAGAAUGAGUUUAUUUGGAUUUGUUAAAAAGUUGCUUGUAAAUUUUAAUUGGUUAAUGAUUUUUAUUGAAUAUGGAGUAUUUAGGAAAAAAGGAAACAUACCUUGAACUAUCGUAAAUGGUAUGCAGAUACCGUAAAUGGUAUGACGAAGGGUAUUUGCAUACCAUUUACAAUAGUUCGGGGAUAUAUCUGUCAUUUUUCUGAGUAUUUAUGAUUUGAAAAAAUAAAGGCAUAAUACAUAUAUUGGACUCUAAACUUGGCUUCAAAUUUUAACUUUGACUUCCAACUUUCAUAAUGCACAAACAUACACUUUAACUAUCCAACUUUUAAGUAAAUAAACACAUACGUCUUACAUGACAUAAUACUCAUAGGACAAAAAAUAAUAUGUAGGACAUGUGUAUCUAUUUGUUCAACUUUAUACAAGUUUAAGUGUCUAUUUGCGCACAUCCAAAAUUGAAGUGCAUUAAUGUAAUUUAAAGUCAAACUAAAGAGCACAUUUAUAUAUCAUUCCAAAAAUAAAUAUCAAAGCAAAAGAACACAUUUAUAUAUCAUUCCAAAAAUAAAUAUCAAAGCAAAAAUAGUUGUCAAGCUUAAAGUAAGCCAAGAAUUGCUUUGGGCUUAAAAACAGUUUAAAAUUAAGUUAAAUUUUACCAAAUACUCAGAAAAAAUAAUCAAAAUAACUUAAAAGUAGCUCUAAAUCCCAUCCAAGUAUCUUAAAAUCCUUACUAAAUUCGGAUCUAACAAGAUUUUUUUUUAUUUUCAGAGCUUGAACUCGAAACUUCUGAUUAAGAGUGAAGCAAUUUCAUCACUCCACCACAAUUCAUAUCGAUGGAUUGAUUUGUUAAUUACUUUAUAUUAGGAAGGGGGUAAGGUAUGCCUAAACGUAACCCUAUUGGAUAUUUACAUAAACUUAAAUUAAUUAAUUAAUGUAAUUGAUAGGGUGUCACAAGCAGCCUCUUUUAAAAUGAACUAAUCGUGAUUAGUGUUGAUUGAUACCUUCAUUCCAUUAGACCUCACCUUCUCCAGACAAAAUUUCAAUCCUAGAAAACACUAAAUUAAUCGAUAUUUAUCGGUGAUUCUUAGCUAAUUAAAUUUAUUAAAAUUCAUUAUUAUUCGUUGCUAAAUAAGACUAGUACGAAAUUUUUAUUGUUUAACUAGAAAAUUUUGUUCAUCGCUAAUUCCUUAUGUUGUAGUAGUAGUACAUUAAGUGUCAUUUUUAACCCAAUUAACUUAUAUACAUUGACAAACAAAUACAAAAGCUCUAUUUAAAACAAACACCUUAUAACAUUAACUUAGCAGAAGAUAAUAAUUAGAUAAAACAAAUUAAGAAAGUAUACAUAAAUUUACACAGCAUUAAACUUUUGUACAAUUAAUACUAAUUAGCUCUAUGAUUCAAUCCUGUUUCAACAAGUGAUACUUCAGCUUCUUCUUUUGCCUUUGAUAACUCAAUUUUGAGGUUCACUUCAUCAAGAUAUUGCUGAUAACCAUAUGAUAAAAAUCCCCAAAUUGCCAAAAUCAUUGAAAUUACUUUCACUCCACUCAUUUUCUCAUUGAAAAAAAUGAGAGCAAGUACUGGAAUUAGUGGCACACUUAACGCAGUAAUCACAUUAGCAAAUAAUGCAGAUACUUUCAUAAUCAAACUUAGUAAACCAAUUGUGUAUAUCUGCCAAGCUAAUGCAUUCCACACUAGUGUCAUUACAUAUGACACUUUCCCAAGCUUAUACUCAUUCAUCUCUCUUUUCAUCCAUCUCCAUUCGCCGCUCGCGAAUAGUCCAAUCAGAAUAGUACACGUGGCGAAAAACGACUGCCAAAUCACUACGUUCAUCACCUCUUUCAGUGUGCGUUUUUUCAUUAUGUUUCUGAAAAUUCGCUCUGUUGCUGAUAACAGCAACGCGUACCCUGCUGAACCGAAGAGAGUGCAGAUGAAUCCGAUUAAAACGUAGCCUUUACCUUUCGAUGAACCGGUUGAUGAGGAAUCGUCGGGUUGGAACACAAGGAGAAUUGAGGAUACUGUGAGUAGGAUAAUUGAAUUAGCUAUAUAAGUUGUUAUUUUUUGGGAAUUGAGGAAGAAGGAAAACAGAGCAUUGAAUCCCAAUUGGCUAGCGGAAAUUAACGAGAAAGUUGAAACGGGUAGGUGUAACAGUCCGACUGCAUUCAACAUACAGCUUCCGCCUAAUAAAAAGCCGAGAAAAACAUAGACCGAUAAGAACAUCCAUACCGAUGGUUUUUUAUUAUUACUAUUAAUAGUAUUCUUAAUCAGGUCAUCCUCGUCUUUGUUUUCUUCCCUCUUCUUCAAGAAGAGAAUAGGGAAGAGUAUCGGGAAUCCGACCAUUUGUACGAGUGAAUUCAUCCAAGUGCUUUUUCCACCUUCUCUGUAGUAAAGCUCUCCGAGGAGUGUUGCAGCUGAUAAGCAAACUAGAACCAAUGCAGCAUUAAAACUUAUUUCAAUCCAUCUAUUGUACUUUUCACGCCAUGAAUUAGUCGAAUUAUUCGCCAUAUUUACUUCCUCUUCAACUAUAUGAACUAGUAAAAAGAUACCAAUUAGUUUAGAGAAUUGGUAAAGCAGAAAAGAAAAAGAUGAAGAACGAAAAGUGUGAGAAGAUAAAGCUUACGAGAAAUAUUGAGCUGAUUUUCUACUUGUGGUUCUCCCAUUGGAAAAUUGAGCAAACUUCUUCAAAAAGUUAAAAGAAUAGUCGGUUUUUAAUUUUUUAUUUGUAGUAAAGUAGCUAUUAAUAUCUGAUUUUUUUAAUGAAUUUGUGGGUUUAUUUAUUUAGGGAUGGGUAGGUGGGGGUCGCAUUUGGAGCAGGUGAGGAAUGUGGGGAAAUGCGAAGAGAUAAUAUUUCUUAAAUUAUCGUCGAAUAAGUUUCACUUUAAAAAUUCAAAUAAUAAUUAUCGAGAUAUUAUAUAUAUAUAUUUAGUUAGGUUCGCAAUUACUAUUGUUAUUUUAAUUGAUGUAAUUUUUGCUUGAGUAUUAAAAAAAAUAGUAUACUAAUAUUUGUUUCCAAUGAUGAAAUGUGCAUUUUUGAAAAUAUAGUAUAGUGUGUACAACUAUUCUCGUCUAUUCUUUUGUUUGUUUUUUUCUUCUUUCUACCCAACUUGUUCUAAUUGUCCUUCCAGGAAGUCACCUUCAUGAUUAUUUGAUGUUUAUUUAUUUUGAAUCAACUACUUUUGAUUAGCAUUAACGGUUUCAUUCUAAAGUAAAAUAAUUUUUUUUUAAUCAAAAAUGACUUCAUAUCCUAAAAAUUACAUUUAAUAAACUUGGUUUGCAAAAUUUUAAGGUUAGAAGUAUAGUAUUAAAUUUAAAAUUUUGCCGAUAAGAUCAACAAGCGAGUUUAAAAAUGUGUCUCCUCAUUCUGGUAAAUUACUCUUUUAUACUAAAAUACAAAUAUGAAAUUUCUAAUUAAUAAUGAAACUGAAUUUAUCACUGUAGCCUAAUCUUAAACGGUUAAACGUCACAUUUCUUUUCACCGUAUAAAACAAGUUUGGAUUAGGAACAUGAGCUGUAUUUUGCUAUUCUUAACUAAUUGUCCUAAUCAAAUUAUUGAACGUAAUUAACUAAUGUGCAAUAUUAUAUCAUUGUGAUUCGUGCACUAAGCAUACUCUAUGUUUGUAUUGAGUUGGUGGAGAAGUUAUAUUUCAUGGGAAAAUCUAAAAUCAAAUUCUAACUCUGGUAUCUAAAUGUUGGAAAUAGUUUUGGCUGUGAAUAUUUAUGAAUUAUGCUAAUUAGUCACUAGUAUAUUUGUAAACUAGGGUUUAUAUAGAAAAACAUUUUACAUUUGCUUAAAGAAUAUAUAAGAUAUGAACAAAAAAAAUACAUUUGUUUCGUGAGAAUUUUCAAUAAACAAUGACUCAUCACAUCAUAAAUCGUAACUGUUGUAAAUUUACCUCCAACCUUCUACAUCUUCAAAAUUGAAUUUACCAAAAAAUUUCAUGAAAAAGAGAAUAAAAGAGAGUACAAUACACUUGAACAUCAAGAGUCAAGAUCGUUCAAUUAAUAUAAUCAUAAAAUGAUUAGUUUUUAAUUAAUUAACAUCAUCGUUGGCGUUAGUUAAUUAUUUUAAUAUGCCUAUUAGUUCAACUAGACUAAUCUUAAAGAUUUGUUGGAGUAUUAUAAUUUAAAUAUGAUAUUUCCCAUGUGAUUAUUUUUUUAGUUGUUCACUUACUAGAUUGACUUGAAUGGUGAAUUGGAGACCUUAUUUAAUUAUUUCCCAUUAUCACAAAUAAAAAGCAUAUAUAUACUCCAAUAAAACCAACAAAAGGGGAAAAAAGGUUUAAAGUGAAAGUAGAAAACGAAAAUAAUAAAAGCAAAAGGUGGAAGUGACAUUUUGAUUACAAAACGAUAAGUCUUCUUGAAACAAAUUUAUUGGAAUUUGAUAUUUACGUCAAAUUAAUUUAUGGAUAUAAUGUAAUAUUUAAUUAUAAUAAGUUGUAUUAAAUUAAUUUAUGGACGUAAUGUAAUAUUUAAUUAUAAUAAAUUAUAUUAAUUUAAUGUAGAUAUUUGAUACUUAUAAAUAUUUAUAAGUCCUGUGCUCCUUUUUUGCGCUUUUUAAUUCGUUAAUUAUUUUAAAAUAUAUAAUAUUUUUUUGAAAUUAUCUUUAAGUUUUCAUUUUAUGAUUUAUGAUAUUAUUUUAUAGUCAUAUAAUUAUUUAUAACUUAUUUUAGAUAAUAAUUUAAUUUAAAUGAGAAAAAAAACAUUUUCUUAAAUUUUGAAUCUAUCUAAUAUUUUAUUACAUAAAUGGGAUUGAGUGGGUGAGAAAUAUUUUUUAACAAAAAGUAUUAAGGUAAAAGUUCUCAAUCAUUAUGAGUGACAGGAAAACCAGAAAUAAUAUGUUUGAAUUUUAUGAAUUGAGAAAUCACUGAGAGGAAGUGCUUCUUCUCUUUAAAUUAAUUAAUAAUUGACUAUUACACAAGAAAAUAAAGGGAAGAUUAAGCUUGUUUUGUUACUGAGGGCCCGUUUGGAUGGGCUUAAUAAAAGCAGCUUUAAAAAAAUACUUUUGAAAGUGCUGAAACUUAUUUUUAAAAUAAGCAGUUAUGCGUUUGGAUAAAAGUGCUGAAGUUAAAUGUAACGACCCGUUUAGUCGUUUUGAGCAACAGACUUCAAUUCUGGAAAAACUGGCAGAAGCGACGGACCCCACGACGGAACGUCAUGGGCACGACGGACCGUCACAGGGUCUCGUUUCAAAACACUUAGAAAAUCUGAAAUUGGGUACUGAAAAUCGACUCUCUGAACUUUGUGACGGAAUGGCAGGACGGACCAUCACAGGUGUGACGGACCGUCACAGACUUUUCAGAGAAAUUGAGUCUCUGAACUAUGCGACGGACAGUUUGCGUAAUCCCAGUUGGAGUCGGAUUUCUAGUUAAGCUUUAAGGGACGUUUUUGACUAUUCUUGCCUUAAUUAUAAAGUUCGUGGGUUUAUAUUAAUAACUCAAAUUCUUGGGGGUUAAAAGAGGUAAUCCUAAAUUAAUUAGUGGGGUAUUAUUGCCACCUUUUAUUCUUAAUUAUAUACUAAUUAGGGUAAAAGAAAGAGGGUUUGAAUAAGAAAAUAGAAAGAACAAAGAGAGACAGAAAAAGAAAGAGAACGAGUAGAGAGAGAGAGAAACGAAGAGGAUAGCAAGGAUUUUGAGAAGAUAGCUUGUUGAUCGCAAUUCUUCGGUGGAGGUAGGUUAUGGUUUUCAUGCUUUCAUAGUAAACUCUUAAUAGAGAAUGAUAUGUAUUAGUAGUAUUGUAAACCCUACUAUAUGCUUAAUUGUAUGUUUGCAUGAAUAUGAUUAUGUGAUUGUGAUAAGAUAACAUGAUGAAAAUAUUGAAUCCCAAAUCUUGAAAAGAAACUUUAAUAUACAUUAUUAAUGAUGAUGCCUUGGUAUAGAAGAAGGCUUUAUGAAUUAAAGUAAUGGGAUUGAUAAUGCCUUGGAAUAGAGAAGGCUUGAUGAUUUACAGAAUGAUAUUAGUGGAUCGGAGUGUCACGUUCCGACACAUAGUAUUAGUGGAUCGGAGUGUCACGUUCCGACACAUAGUAUUAGUGGAUCGGAGUGUCACGUACCGACACAUGUAGGGGAUCGGAGUGUCACGUUCCGACACAUGUAAGGGAUCGGAGUGUCACGUUCCGACACAUGUAGGGGAUCGGAGUGUCACGUACCGACACAUGUAGGGGAUCGGAGUGUCACGUUCCAACACAUGUAGGGGAUCGGAGUGUCACGUACCGACACAUAGUGGUAGGGGAUCGGAGUGUCACGUACCGACACAUAGUGGUAGGGGAUCGGAGUGUCACGUACCGACACAAGAGGAAGAAAGAUAAUGAAUCUUGAAAGAUGUUAAUAUACUCAAUCUAAUGAAUAUAAUUCCCAAAUGAGUAUGGUAUUGAGGCUUGAGCCCUCAUGGAUGAACUUGAUGGUACUUAAUGAUGAUUAUAAUACUUGUUGUUGCUACAUGUUGAGUUUUAUAGUUGAUUUACGAUAAUAUUGAUAUAUACUGUUCCCUAUUUUGAGUUGACCGAUGAUAUCUACUCAGUACCCGUGUUUUGUACUGACCCCUAUUUUUAUGUUUUUCUUCUUGUUAUUUGUGGAGUGCAGCAAACGUGCCGUCAUCUUCGACUCAACAGUAACUCAAGCCAGUCUUCGUCACACCGGAUCUUCAGGGUGAGCUAACGCUUCUAGCUUGGUCUGGAUCUUCUCCUUCAUGUCUUGAUGCCUUGAACUUCCGGCAUGGACUAGCUUCUUAUGUAUUUUUAUCUUCUUAGAAACUCUUAGAAUUAGUAGUUGAAAGUAGAUGUUCUUGUGAUGAUGACUUCCAGGUUUUGGGAAUAAUAGAUGUUGAAUAUUGAUAGUUAUUGAAUUGGUUUUUAUUAAUGAGUUUAAGUCUUCCGCAUUACUUUCUGUUGUUAUUACAUUGAAAUGUUAAGGUUUAGAUUGGUUGGUUCGCUCACAUAGGAGGGUAAGUGUGGGUGCCAGUCGCGGCCCGGAUUUGGGUCGUGACAUUAAAAAAAAGUUGUUGAUGUGUUUGGCAAAUAAGUGGUGAUAAACAGCUUUUUAAAUCAAAAUGUCUGAAAUAACCUUAAAAGUUGUUAACAUAAUAAAAGUUAAUUAAUUUAUAUUUUACAGCCAUAAAUAAUUAUAUUUUACUAUCAUUCACAUAUUUCUUUUUCAUCACAAAUUAUUUUCUUUCUCAUCACAAAUUAUUUAUAAAAGGAAUAUAAACUUAUUAUAGAUUUUAAAGAUAUAUAAUUUGAAUAGAUUAAAGAACGAUUUAAGAUUUUAUUUUAGUUUCAUCCAUAGGUAAUAAUAAUUGUCUAUCAUUCACAUAUUUCUUUAUUAUCACAAAUUAUUUAUAAGAGGAAUAUAAAUUUUUAUUUAAGUUAUAUGUGCAACUUAUUUUACAUUUUAAUAAUAUAUAAUUUGAAUAGAUCACUUGAAAGAUUUAAGAUUUAUUUUAUUUUCAUUCAUUAGUAAUAGUAAUUGUCUAUCAUCCACACGUAAAAGGAAAAAAUUGAAGAAAGAGAUGUUAGAAUUAUGUGGGUAAUUUGGAGAUUGUAUAAAAAUAUUAAGGGCAAAAAGGUAAAAAUGUGGUCAACUUAAAACAGUUUAUAAGCUGGAAAAAAAAAAGCACACCUACCCCAGCUUUUAACUUUUGGCUUAAAAUAAAUUUUUUUAACUUAAAAUAAGCUGUUUUGAAUAUUAUCAAACAGCUAAAUAAGUCAAAAACCAGCUUUUAAGUCAAUUUGAUCAGCUUUUAAGCUGAGCCAAACAGGCUCUAAGUUUAUUAAGAAAACUACUUUUUGUCAUGUAGGAGCAAGAUUAAUGAUUAGUACUACAAAAAUAGUAACGUUAGGUUUGUUUAUUUAAUGAUAAUUAAUUAAUCAGUGCAACUUGAACCUCAACUUAUUACUUAAGUACGAUAAAAUUGGUACUUAUAUUUUAGAAUAAAUAUCCGGUUAAUACACUAAACCAUUCUUAUUAUUAAAGCAUUAAUCUGAUUAUAUUUUUUUGAAACAAUGGGCUUGAUUGGCCAAUUAAGUGAAAGUUCUUAGAUCAAUAAAGUGGUUGAAAAUAUUAUCUCAAAUUUAAAAAUUUAGCGAAGACGAAAAAUAUUAGAUGAUGAUAUCAUGUGAUAUUAGUCAAGGUGCACGAAGUUGGCCCUUUUACCCUUUCUAGAAACCUAAGGUCUAGUGCCUGGUGGAGCAUAAAUUUGAAGGAGAAAACGCACACAACUUUCACAUAUAACAAACAAAAAAUUCAUAUUUAUAUGCUAUAGCAAAGUUUGCAUAAUUGCGCUCCAUAGUAAACAUAAAACUGUAUAAUUCGCUAUACAUAUACAAUUGUAUAAUUCGCUGGCUUAAAUUGUAUAAUUUGCUAGCCUAAAUUGUAUAAUUCGUUGGCCUAUUUCGCUGCAAUUGUAUAAUUUGCUCUGCAUACAGUUGAAUCGAAUUAAAAUGUAUGUAUAUUGCAUAAUUAUAAGUGUAUAGCAAGAAGAUAUAUGUUUUUCUCGCUUUAUACAAAAACAGAAACACAAUAUAUACACUUCUGUUGUAUAAAGCUAGAGAAAAUUGUAUUUCACUGCAAUUGUAUGAUUCGUUGGCCUUUUUCUCUGCAAUAUUUGAAGUAAAAUGUUUGUAAAUUGUAUAAUAAAGUGUAUAACACGAAGAUAUACAUUUUUGCAUGUGUAUAUACAAUUUUCUCUCGCUUUAUACAAAACGGAAACAGAAUUAUACACUUCUGUGUAUAAAGCGAGAGAGGUGAGCGAGAAUGGAGAGUGGCAAGCGAUAUUUUGGGAGAGAGACGCUGGCAAAUUUUAGCUAAUGUUUGCUAUGGAGCACAAUUAAAUCAAACCCUAGCCAUUCCAUUUAAUUUAGGUUUUUAGUUUGCUAUUAUAUACAAUUUUCCCUUUAUGCUUCGUACUGUCCAGCGUACUGAACCUCAAUUUCAGCCCAAUAAUGAUUGGGUGUUUGGCCCAACUUAGCUCACAUAAGCCCAAAUUCGUGAAAGGCUGACUCUAAGAUCAAUAUUUUGGGCACUGUGUGUCCCAUUUUAAGGAAAAAUUGUGUCUGAAUAUCUUUGAUCGUCUAAUUUACAAAAUAUGUACAGUGCAUCAAUAGUUUAUAUUUUAUAUCGCAUAUACAUAUAUUAUAUAUACUUAUACACAAUAUAUACGAUUGAAGUCUAUAUAAGUAGUGUAUACCUCUACCAUAUUGGUAAAGUAGAUAGACCAAGGAUAAGUUUUAUAUAAAUUUUGUGCUCUGAUGUGAGGGGUUAAAUUAGCGGAAACGGUAAAAUUUAUGAAUGUCAUAACUCAUAAUUCAAAUAGCCUACUUAAAUUACACUUUUCUCCUUUGGAGAAAUAUAGAUUAAAUUGAUCGAUCACAUUAAUUAGUCGAAGGAAUGUGUUCUUUUGAUGGAACUUAGGAUCAACUCUUGUUCAAAGCUUGUAGAGUCACAUAUAUAUAUAUAUAAACGAGAUGUCGCGUCUAACCUAAAAAUAUUUUUAGUUUUUCGAAAAAAACCAUAGUGCAAGAAAAGGAAAGUUAGAAUUUUUUUAAAUUUAAUUGAAGAAAGAUAUAUUUUUUCUGGUAGAGCUGGUGACUCAACUCUUAUACAAAAUUUGUUGAAUUAUAUAGUAUUGUUAGGAUAUUUUAUCCCGGACUAGGGGACAAGUCAAGAGAAUUACUAUUGAAUCGAUAAAUAAGUGUUAUAAUGGACUUAAAGCUCAUUGAAGAGAGAUAUAAAUGCCUCAAACCUGAAAAUAUUUUAUUUUUUUCAUAUUUUUUUUUUAUUUGGAAUUGUACUUUCGCCAACAAUGGACAGUCAUGAUAAGAUACAGUUAUUAUAUAUUACAUCCUUUUAAUUAUCUGGCAUUAUUUUAUCAACGAAAUUGUUAUACAACAACUUUUGUCAAUUCCAAGUUUGUUAAAUAAAUUCAUUUAACUAACCAAAUUCAAACUAGAUCUGCUGUCAUACUUCAUUUUAUCAAUAAUGUGGAAUAAAAUAAAAAAAGUUGUACAAUUAUUUCAAUAUUUUUAAGCUAUUAUUCUUUAUUGAUAUUAUCGUACUUCACGAUGUACUCGCUUCGUUCACUAUUUUUUGUCAUAAUCUUUAUUUUCAGAGUCAAAUUAUAAGAACUUUGAUUAACAUUUUAAGAUUGAUUUUUUCAUCAAAUUGAUAUGCAAAAAGUUGCAAUUUAUAGUAUUUUUCAUAUAGUUUUAAAAUAUUAAAAUUUUUUAUUUGAAAUAUCGAAUUAGUAUAAUCUGAUUUAACUUUAAAAAAUAGUCACACUAACUUUCGAAAAUUAUAACAUGACAAAUAAAAGUGAAAGAAGAGAGUAUAAGAUUUAAAUGACACGACAAAUGCAUAGUAUUUUAAUUUUCAAUAAUUGAAGAUGAUGAGCAAAGAGCUGAAGUAUUACGACCAAGUUAAAAUUUAUUAGUAUUAAUUAAAUUUUGCUGAAUAAGAUAAGUCUGCGAUAUGAACUAUUAAGGAUAAUGCACUUAUCUCAUUAAUUAAUAGUCAACAAUCAACAUAAAUUAAAAUAAAACUAUGGAAAAUUUCAAAUAUAGCUUCACGUACUUCGUUUCUAAGUGAUGUGAUUAUUUUAUUUGAAAAAUUAAUUUUUCAAUAAAACUUUCACUUAUCUAAGAUUUUUAUCUGUUUGAAUGUCAAUUCAAUUGUUUAAUCUUUUCAUGUUUAAAUUGUUAGAGAAAUAACUUUUUGUUUAUUUAAUUUAUAUUGUUCUUCAAUGUUAGAGAGUUUGACACCGGAAAAACGAUGAAAAAACAUAUAAUCUUGUAACGCGAAAAUUAUAUAAGAAAUACGUUUCUUUCAUUUUAAUUUGUUUUUCAUAUUUUAAUUAGGUGAGAGUUUAAGAAAGUAAAUAUUAUAAUUUUAAAUUAAUUAUAUGUCAAAUGUAUCAAAAUAUUCUUUAAUCUUAUAGUAUUAAAUGUCAAGUAAAAAAUUAGAAAAAAUAAAAAAUACUUUUAAAAAUAAAUUAAAAAAAUAAGACGAAUAAAUUAAAACUUUGUUACGUAAGUUGUGGGGUUUAAAGGUCAAGUGAAAUUUUGGCCACUAUUAUAUUGUCAAGUGCUUAAGCAAAAGGGACGAAAGAGCAAGGUAUAAAACUAUAAAUGUAUAAACAUCUAAAGUUAGUUGCAUAUUUAAGUCCAUUAAAUAAUACUUAUUAGAUAUUUAUUAGGCAAAAGCUGGAUUACUUGGAGUGUGUUCGAUAUGAAAAAUAUUUGACUGGUUAAAUUUUAUGAAAAAUAUUUUUUUACGAAAAUAAGUUAUUUAAAAAUGAGAAAAAUUAUUUUUUUAAUAAAAAUAAAAAAAAUAAGUUUUAAAAGUGAUAUUUCAUAUUAAAAAUUAUCUUUCUUAAUUGUCUCUAAAAGUAUAUAUUAAAUAAUAAUUAAUCUAUUACUUUUAUUAAUUAUUACUGUAAAUUAUUUAUGUGUAGCGCCCACCCCACGCUCCUAUCUCUCACCUUUCCAUUACAUUUGUGAUUUAAAUAUACACAAAUAUCUUUUAAGAUAAUAAUUUAUAUAUAUUUACGUAUUGAAAAAUAUAAAAAAAUUUCUUGAAAAUAUUUCCCUCCUCCCAAACACACCCUAUUGUACAUCUAUUCUUAAAACCAUAAAAUUAUUUAAUAUAUUUUAUUUCUGUUGUGUUUAGGGGUGUGUAAAAACCGAACCGACCAAUAAAUCGAACCGAUAAAAUAUUAUUGGGUUAUUGGGUUAUUAGAUUAUUGAGUUUUUAAUGGGUUUAGAAAAAAUAAUUAUUGGGUUAUUGGGUCGGUUUCGGUUUUUACCUACUGGGUUAUCGGGUAAACCAAUAACCCAAUAAGACGAUAGUAAUUUACUACUUUACCUUACCCUUCCUCAAUAUUAAAUAUACAUAAUUUAAUAUAUAAAUAGAUUUAGUAUUAGCUUUUCAGGGUAUGUGAUUUUUUUGUUAGGAAAUUGGUGAGAACUUUGUUGAUUAUCUGGUGGAUCAAGCAACUGUUCAAGAUUGUCUCAUUGAAAUAUUUUAUUUUAGUUUUAAUUCUAGUUCAUAAUUGUAGGCGAUAACUUUUGCAAGUUUGUGAAUGUUAGUAAUUUGAUCAACAUUCAAAAUUUUCUAUUAUGUUUUGGCAUUAAGUUGGUAACAUGUAACUAAUAACAUACGUACUAUUAUAUAUAAUUUGAUCGACAUUUUCUUAUUGGGUUAACUGAAAUCGAACCGAUAACAUCAAAAACCGAUAAAUCGAUAAAAAAUUUCUUAUUAAUUUGUUAUUGGAUUAGCAUAUUUUAAAAUCGAAAACCGAUUAACCAAAUCGAUUAUAUGUAAAACCGAAUCGAACCGACCGAUGCACACCGGUAGGUGUGUUUGUAGGAAAAGGGCAACAGGGGAUGCAUUUGGUAUGAUGAACCAAAAGUAAUCUAAUUUAUAACUAUUCUAUAGAGAAUAAUGUCAUUAAUCAUUUAUAUUCUUUUAUAUCAUUAGAGGGAAUAAUCAAAAUAAUAAUUUUUCUUCUUCUUUUGCAAUUAUACCUUCCCAAGUAUGGUCUCUCGCUAAUUAUCAUUUAAUUUACACUUGCAAAUCUACUCUGGACUUCCAUGUGUCCAAUUCAUGUCCCUCUAAUUUCCAAUAGUCAUACACAAUUGGACUUUCAUAUUAUAUUUUAUGUUAUUUAAUAUUUUAUUCAUCUUAAUUUAUGUGGUACUUUUUAAAUUUGGAGAUUCAAAAAAACUUUAUAUUUGAUAGUAAAUUAUUUAAAUAUUUUUUUAAACAUUUUGAAUUAUUAAUUAUAUGACUUAUAGUACUUUUUACGUAGUUUUAUAAAUAUAUAAAUAUUAUUUAUAAAAAUUUAAAAAAUAUUUUCAAUCAAACUUAAAUUAUUUGACUUUUAAAAAAUAAAAAAUGCUAUGUAAAUUAAAACUAAAGAAGUAACUAUAUUUUGUUAUAAUAAUUAAAAAUUUUCAAACAAACGAUAUCGAUAUAAAAAGGGUUAGAGCUUAUUAUUUUAAUUGUAUAUAUGGAAGUUGUUGGAUUAUAAUAUAUAUGUCGACAAUACACUAAAUUAUCCAUACAAUUGUUUAUUAUGAAUGAAUAUGGACAUCUCAAAAUAUUUAAACAUGUUGUCGACAAUCUAUCCACUCUUCAAAUAGAAUAAGUACAAAGGGUUUUAUCUUUGCUGGCACAAAAGACUUAUUCCUGAAUUUGAAAUAAGGGGCAAGAAGUGUAGCUAUAUAAGUGUUUAAUUACAAAAUUGGGGAAAAUGUAUAAUACAUAAUUUAAGAUAUUUUAUUUUCUAAAAAUUUUUUUCAUUUAAAAUUUUUUAUAAACAUUCAUAUCCUAUUAGAUACAUUCUUUAUAUUAAAGUAGUGUAUCAUUUGCAAUAUAUUGAACAAAUAAUGAAUGUAUUUGAUAGUAAUAAAAAAUUUAAAGUUCUUGUAAUUGAAGAAACUUGUGGGAUAAGAUGCAACUGUUAGGUUCUAAAAUAUGUAAAUAAAAAAUGAAGAGUUGCGAUUUUUAUGAAGAGUUGUGAUUUUAAUAAAAAAAAUUUCCGGUAAGGUACAACAAGAACAUUUUCACACUAUCCAUUUGUUGUCUAUAAUAGAGGAAUUUUCUCUCAUUUUAAUAUAGCCAAUUUUCCAGACUUCUUCUUCUACUACUAAAUAUAGUAUUCUAAGUCUACUUCACUGUCGUUGAGUGGUUCACUAACACCAUGGUUAUAGGUAACGCUUCACCGGUGAGUAAGAUCAUUCUAUCCUGUGAGAAUAUAUUCUAGUAAUCUAGGUACUUGAGAGAAAUAACUUCCUUAAAGGGGCAUUGCGCUUGCAGUGGGAUCGAUUUUCUUUUUUGAGAAAAAAUAUUUUGCGUAUUGUUUCUAAUCUGAUUCUAAUUCUAUUUUUUCUACUGGUUUAAAUUUUCCAAUUUUAAAAAUGCUCUUUAAACUAUGUUAUUUUUUACCAAAUUCUUCAAAAUUUUGUUCUAAACAUGUUAUAAGUUUGAACGAAAAAAUAAUGAUGAGAAACAAUUCACUCUAUUGAUGAAACAUACAUGAAUUCUAGUUAAUAUUUGGUGAUAAAACUGUUGCUCAUAACUGUAAGUUUAGUUUAUCCCAUAAAAGGUAGAAAAGGAAAAAGAAAAUGACUAAUUUGAAAUAACACAGACGAACGGUCAUCUCUAUAAUAUAGUUGACAUAAAUAAAUGUAUAUAAAUAGGUAAUUAAGAGAAAAUUUAGAUGGAUAACCUAAAUUAUAUGUUCCAUUAUUUGUCAUUCCAAAAUGUUUUUAUAUUGAAUCGUCAAUAUAUAUAUAUAUAUAUAUAUAUAUAUUUCUUCAAAGUGUAUGCACAUUUUGCAAAAUCACAUUCGGCAAAAAAUUUUUUUUAUGUUUUUUAAAAUCACAUUUUACAAAAUUGUUGCAGUAGCAGCGAUUUUAUUUUUUCUGGCGGAGAAAUCACUUAUUAUUUCAGUGAUUUUGCUGUUUUGAUUAAUAUAAAAUAUUAAUAUAAAAUUUUAUAUACCAUUUUAAAAUUUUUAUUAAUAUUUUAUACCAUUUAGGUUCCGGACUCUAAAUUAUAGUAGCAUCACAUGCCAAAUAUAUUAUUACAUAAAGUAAUUUUUUUUAAUUUUUUUGUACAUAGAAACUUUCAUCUUUUUUUACUCACGUGAUUUAAAUUUAUAAUUUUAAAAUUAAAUUAAAAGUGUUUACCAUCUAAACAUCCAAGUGCAUCCCCUCUUCUCAAACUAAAAUUAUUCAUUGUUAUAUAAUAAUGAAUUUAAUAUUAUAAUAUAAUAAACCUCUUAUAUAAAAAUCAAGAUAAAUAUUAUAUUAAAACUAAUCAUAAGUACUGUCAAUCAUCUAAACAAAAAGGAGAUUAUCGUCCAUUAGAGAGUGAAAAAGAAAAGAUUACACAUGGCAAUACGAAAUGAUGCAAAGAAAUAUAUAUAGUAUUUAUUAAUUAUUAUUCCUAUAGUUGACAUCAAUAAAUGCAUAUAAUAAAAUGAAAUUGGGAGGAGUCAUAUUGUGAAUUAUUGUGGUACCAAAAAUAUUUUUAUAUUUAAUUGACUCGUGAUUUUUAUUACAACGUGCUUUAAUCUAAAGUUUUUUCCCAUCCCUGGGUCCCACCACCCCUAUUAGAUUCACAUUUUUUGAAUAUUCUUUUAAGAAAUUAAAAUUUAUUUAAAACCCUUGAAUUGAAUCUAUCAUCUCCUAUGUGCACUUGUUCACCUCUUUUAAAUGAAGAAAAAUUCAUCAAAUUUUGAAAUUACUCUUGUGUAUUCAAAUUUUAAUUUCAAUAUACAAAUUAGAGAAAAUUGUAUAACUAAUUAUUUUGUUUCCUUAUCGUGAAUGUGAAGAAGCUACAAAAUUAAAAUGUUGGUAUUUCAUCUGUCUCAAUUUAUGUGAUUUACAUUUUGUUUUAAUCAGUUUAAAAAAGAAUGACACAUUUCUAUAUUAAAUUAAGUUGUAAUUUUAACUAUAAAAUAUCUAUUUUACCCUUAAUGAAAUGAUUUAUAGCCACACAAAUUUUGUGAUUCAUUAUGGACACAAGUUUUAAAAAUCUUCAUAUCUUACUUAAACUUCUUCUUGAGUCAAUCUACCUCACAUAAAAUGGGACAGCGAUACUAUAAAAAAAUUCAAGUGUAACACUUGAUAUAUGUAUCUUUAUGGUCUAUCUAAGCAAUUGACUUAUUGUUAUCAGGGCCAGAGUGUGUACUUUCUCAAAUUGCAUGAUAUUUUGAGGGCAUAAUACAUAAAUGUGCCUUUUAAUUUGGUUUCGAGUUACAUUUAUGCCUUUUAAUUUUGAGUGUGCACAAUUAGACAAUUAAACUUGUAUAAAAUUGAACAGAUAGACACACAUGUCCCACAUGUCAUUUUUUGUCCUACGUGUAUUGUGUCAUGUAGGACUCAUGUGUUUAUUUAUUAAAAAAUUGGAUAGUUAAAGUGUCUGUUUGUGUAUUAUGAAAGUUGAAGGUCAAAGUAAAAAAUUUAGGAUCCAAUAUAUAUAUUAUGUUUAUUCUUUUACUUGUCAUUUUGUAUCAAGAAAAGAUAAAAAAACAAAAUCAUAUCUUAUCUUUAACAAUAUAAGAACUUGUUUGUGAAUUAUUUUUGAAGAUCUAAUACUUAAAAAUUAACUAAUGCAUACAUUGUAAUAAAACACUCAUAUUAAUAGUUUUUAAAGGACAUGUAAAAUUUAAAAUGAAGGGAGGCCGUAAUUUUUUAUUAGGAACUGAAGUUUUCGGGUAUGUUACUGCAUCCAUUACUCUAAAAAUAAAAUGUAUAUUUUUAUUAUGUAAUACAAUAAAUUUUCCAUUUUAAAUUGUCUUUGUUCUAAAAAUAAUGUAUAUUUUUUAAAAAUAAAUUGUGAUUUUAUUUAUUAGUCCUGUUAAGUAAAUACAAGACAAUUUAAAAUAAAACUGGGGGAGGGAGUAUUUAAUUUGUACACAUUUCAACUCAUUAUGGACAAAUAACAGAAGGCAGACCCGCAAUUUAUGGCUCCAAACUUAGAGGAAUUAAAAAUAAUUACAUAUCAAAGGUGAAGCUCGAAAUUACUCUUUGGGUCCAAUAAUAAUUAUUCAUCAUUAACUCGACACGCCGUUUAAGAACAAUAGAUAAUAAAAGUAAUAUCAUCUCUGUCCCCUUUUAAUUUUCAUAGUUUUCUUUUCUAGAGCUAAAAUAUAAAAAUUUUAACUAAUAUUUUACGAUUUAAUCAUAUUGAUAUGUAUAAAAUUGCAAUUUAUAGUAUCUUUCGUAUAGCUUUUUAAUAUUUAAUUUUUUUAAAAAAUAUAAAAUUAAUUUAAUCUAAUUUAACUUUAAAAAUUAGUCAAAUUGAUCUUUGAACAACAUAACAGAACAAAAAAAAAUAGACGAAUGGUCACCCCUUGAAUAUAUUACAUUUAAUGUUUUGAAAAAUAUAAAUAGUAGAAUUUAAUAUCAAAAAUAGAAUAAACACAAAAAAUGAAUUAUCUUUUAAUUUUUCAAAUUAAGCGUGUAUUAUUGAAUAAUAAAUUUUUUUAAUAAUGAACGACUAAAAAUGGAGAUUAAUGAAAAGAAAAAGGAAAACGAGAGAGAGACUUUUUUUAAUUGCAAAAGUCAAGUUUCCUUAAAGUGAUGAUAAUAAUUAUUAAAACAUGGUUGACUUAUUAUAUUUAUUAAAUUUAUCCACCAAAAGGGUAUAAUUGGCAUAUCAAAACUUGGUGGCUCCAUAUAAAUACAGGAGUUAAAUGCCCUAUGUAGGACACACAACUCUUUUAAUUGCAAAAGUCAAGUUUCCUUAGUUCCUCACUCUUUGGAGUACCUAAGUUUUCUCUUCUUUUCUCCUCAGUCGAUAGUCUGUUUUAUUUUUAAGGUUAUUAAUUUCAGACUUCACUUAUUAGAAUUAUGGCGGUUAAAUGUGAAUCAUCGCCGAUGCAUGCUACCUCUAGCGGAUUACUACAAGGUGAUAAUCCGUUGCAUUAUUCACUCCCUUUGGUGAUUGUACAAAUAUGUUUGGUGCUUGUACUCACCCGAGUCCUCGCCUAUCUUCUCCGCCCACUAAGACAACCGCGUGUUGUUGCUGAGAUCAUCGUAAGUUUUUCUUCUUUUACAUUUUGUCCUCUUUCUCACAGCUUAAGCCAAUAUGUUUACACCCUCCCUCUUGAUCUAAAAUAAUAUUUGCCAAUUAAAUUACACUUUUAUUAUCAAAGAUAUGAAGUUCUCUUAAUAAAUUAAUCAUUAUUGUUGCCUCCACGUUCAAAGGACUAAUUUGGCGUAGAAUUAUUGGCACUCAUGCAACUAGAGGUUUCUUAUUUUUAAUAAAAAUAAUUAAAAAGCCCACCUUCAUUAAGAACGUACAUAUUACUCCUUUUUAUUAUUUAUUCGUUAUUGUUUCUUUUCUAACGUACAUCGGGUAGGAUUUAGCCUGGCUGUUUCUAACCAACUCUUUGGAAUAUGUAGUCUAGAAAACAUAUUUUAUGUAUUAAAAUCAUAGUAUCCAAAAUUAAUUUACUUAUUGCACAUCAUAUACAUAUAUAUUGACUUUGUAGCAUGGACUUAUAAUAUAUAGUAUAAAUCAGUUCUAUAAUAGAGGAGAUUCUUCAGAUCCCUCUGCAUCAAUUGUGAAAAGUAUAUUUAAUUAAAAAUGAAGGGAGUAGUUAAGGUUGAUAAAUGAAAGAAUCAAUUUUUAAAACAAUAAAACUUAGGUUUAACUUUUUUGAUAAUUUUUUAAUCUUGAUAAGUGUAAUUUUCUUUUGCUUUGAUUGCUAAUACUGAUCAAGUAUGUACGUCCAUAUUUUAAGGAAUCAAUUUUUUUUCUUAAUGAUAUAUGGUUUCAUAACUUUAUCCUAAAACAUCAUUCCUCUUUUAGUGUCACCGAUUCAAAAUUUAAAACUACUGAAUUUAAAAUAAGUGAUAUCUUAUUAGAAAUAUACAAUAUUAAAUUAAUUUAGUAUCGUGUACUUGUAUUUAAACCAAAACCAACAUGCAUGUUGAUCAACUCGUAGUAUGUGUAUUGACAAUAGAUUUUUUCUAUUUUUGGUAGGGAGGUAUUUUACUAGGUCCAUCCGCGCUUGGACGUAACAAAAAUUAUCUAAACGCGAUAUUUCCACCAAGUAGCCUCCCAGUGUUGGACACAUUGGCUAAUCUUGGUCUCUUAUUCUUUCUUUUUCUGGUUGGGACUGAGUUAGACCCAAGAUCUCUUCGUCGAACCGGAAAAAAAGCACUAUGUAUUGCCCUUGCUGGUAUCACUCUCCCUUUUGUAUUGGGAAUUGGUACAUCUUUUGCUCUUCGAUCCACAAUUGCCCAAGGGGUUAAUCAAGCCCCUUUUCUAGUCUUUAUGGGAGUUGCCCUUUCUAUCACUGCCUUCCCUGUCUUAGCUCGUAUUUUAGCUGAACUUAAGCUAUUGACAACUGAUGUUGGUCGAAUGGCUAUGUCUGCGGCGGCGGUUAAUGACGUAGCAGCAUGGAUUCUACUAGCUCUUGCUAUUGCACUUUCAGGUUAGAAUUAGAAUCAUAUGCAACUUUUUUUUUUUAAGCAAUAUAAAUAUUUAAAUUCUCAAUUCGCAUCUGUUAUGUCAUGUUGUAGGUUCGGGGUCUCCAAUUGUUUCUUUGUGGGUCCUGUUGAGUGGUUCAGGUUUUAUCCUUCUUUGUAUAUUGAUUGCACCUAGAAUAUUCAAGUGGAUGGCAAAGCAAUGUCCUGAGGGAGAGCCGGUGAAUGAGUUGUAUGUUUGUGCUACAUUGGCGAUUGUUUUGGCCGCGGGAUUUGCCACUGAUGCUAUUGGAAUUCAUGCUUUAUUUGGGGCUUUCGUGGUUGGUGUUCUUGUACCAAAAGAAGGGCCAUUUGCUGGUGCUUUAGUGGAAAAAGUGGAGGAUUUGGUAUCAGGCUUAUUCCUACCGUUGUACUUUGUGUCUAGUGGAUUGAAAACAAACGUAGCUACUAUUCAAGGUGCUCAAUCUUGGGGUCUUCUUGUUUUAGUUAUAGCUACGUCUUGUUUUGGGAAAAUUGCUGGUACUGUUUGUGUAUCUCUCAUGUGCAAGUUAUCUGUUCAAGAAUCGUUAGCACUCGGUUUCUUGAUGAAUACUAAAGGACUAGUCGAACUCAUUGUCCUUAACAUUGGCAAAGAUAAAGGGGUAAGCUUUUUCCUUUUUCCUUUCUUUCGUUUCAAUAAUAAUGCUUUUAUAGUAACUAAACGAUAUGAUUUGUCCGUAUUAAAUUUUGUAGGUAUUGAAUGAUCAAAUAUUUGCCAUUAUGGUGUUGAUGGCACUCUUCACAACAUUCAUGACAACACCACUAGUUAUAGCAACCUACAAGCCAGCCAAAAUGGCUGUAACAGAGUACAAAAACAGAACCAUAAUGAGGAAAGACACAAGCAAGCAACUCCGAAUCUUGACAUGUUUCCACGGCACAAGAAACAUUCCCACACUCAUAAAUCUCAUCGAAGCUACUCGAGGAACAGACAAAAAAGAAGGACUCCGCGUCUACGCGAUGCACCUCUUGGAGCUCACCGAAAGACCCUCAGCAAUUCUAAUGGUACACAAGGCCCGAAAAAACGGACUCCCCUUGUGGAAUAAAGAGAAAGCAGGCGAAUCAAACCAAGUCAUUGUCGCAUUUGAGACGUUUGGACAACUCAGUAAGGUGUCGAUAAGACCAAACACAGCAAUCUCUCCUAUGUCUAGUAUGCACGAAGACAUAAUUGCUAGCGCGGAGAGAAAAAGAGUCUCGAUGAUCAUUGUACCAUUCCACAAACAUCAGAGAUUGGAUGGACAUUUCGAAACAACUCGUGCUGAUCUGAGAAACGUGAAUAGAAGAGUCCUCGAACACGCACCGUGUUCAGUUGGAAUCAUAAUUGAUCGAGGGCUCGGUGGGGCAUCUCAUGUAUCCGCUAGUGAAGUUAACUAUUCGGUCCUGGUUUUAUUUUUCGGGGGCCAUGAUGACCGCGAAGCCCUUGCCUACGGCAUGCGCGUCGCAGAGCACCCUGGCAUUACAUUAAACGUGGUCCGGUUCAUAAUUGAUCCAGCUGUUAUUGGGGCCAGUGUCCACGUGGACAUUGUUCAGAACUCCAGUCCCGUACCGGAGUCACAAGAGGACGAGAUUUUUCUUUCUGAUAUGAAACAGAAAUCAAGCGGUGACAGUUCUAUUAUUUUCCAAGACAGUAUCGUCAAGGAUAUAAGAGAAACUACAGAAGUUAUUCGCGGAUUUAAAAAAUGUAAUUUGUUUAUAGUCGGGAGGAUGUCUGAGGGGCAAUUGGUUUCGGCAUUUGAUUCAAAAAGUCAUCAUUGUCCAGAAUUGGGGCCGUUGGGGAACUUGUUGAUUUCCGGUGAGAUUUCAACAUCGGCAUCAGUGUUAGUUGUGCAGCAAUAUCGAAGCGAGUUACCGCAAGAAUCACUAAGGUCGUUGAGGGCUGGAGAUUCAUCAAGGGUUGGAUCAUCAAGAAUUGGACAUUCAGGAAGAGUUGGACAUUCAGCAAGAGUUGGACAUUCAACAAAAGGAGUUGAUGGUGAUGAAGAAGUAACUGAAAUUUAAUUUUUCUUUACACAGGGGUAAAUAAGGUAUUUAUCAAAUAACAUAAGGUUAAAAUCAUGUAUAUAAUGUUGCUUAACCUAUGGAUCGUUUUUAAUUUUUAAUUUUGGUGUUUUAUUGUUGUAACGCAAAGCGUAUAUAUGAAGUUCAUUGAAGUUCUUGCCUCCUUGCUUAAUAUUCGUCUAACCCAUCCGUUUCAAAAAGAAUUAUCUUCUUUCCUGUUUAGUCUGUUUCAAAAAGAUUGAUCUUUUUUUUUUUGUAACAAUUUUCGACGAGACAUGUUUAAGGUUACAAGAUUAAAGGACAAUUUUGUCCAUUUGACAUAACUUUAAUUCAGGACUACAUGAUCAAAAGUCUUUUUUAUUUUCUUAAACUCCGUGUCAAGUCAAACUAGACUAUUCUUUGUGAAACGAUGAGAGUAAUAUUUUACAUCGAUGGCUAGCUUGCUAGCUUUGGGGGUGCGAAUUAAGUACGUAUAGGACCUAAUUCAACAUAGUAUCAGAUGAGAUGUUGGGUUGCUAAAGCAAAAAGUCUUACAUUGAUGAUUAAUGAGAUGAGUGAAUUCCUUGUAAGGGUUUGACGAUUCUUCUCCCUUUGAACUUGUUUUUUAGGAUGUGAAUUAGGUCUAAGACCUAAUUUAACACUAACUUUGUAUUUUUUUUUUUAUAAAAAAAGUAUACUUUGAUCAUUUUUGAGUGUUUGAAUUAUGAUCGUUUCAUCUUAAAUAUCAAGAUGUUAAAUAGAGCAGAAUUUUAUUAUUUAAUUGUAUUAUCGAUGGAUAAAACAUUUAAUCUUAUAUUAAUGCUAAAGUUUAUAAUCAUUACAUUUAAAAGAUUAUUCUUUUAUAAAAACAUAUUUUUAUUAAUUUAAUUAUAUUAUCUUAUGAUAUGAUACACUUUUCUUUUGUCUAAUAAAAGUUGGAAACGUUCCUCCAUUACAAGAUAAUCUUAUUUUCCUUAAAAAGGAACAUAUACUUUAAUGAAUGAAUGCAAUCAGUUAGUUACAUUAAUUUAUUUUAAUUAAGUCAACUCACGAUUCACAAACAACUAGUAUUAUCAUUUUUAGGCUUUAUAGGAAUCAGAUUUACUAUUUGCUCGUUUUUAAAUUAUAUUAAGAGAUUUUUAUGUCCGCGUGUUAAAUGGGUCGGUUUAGAUUAUUAUUGAUUAAAAUUAUUAAAUUAAUUUAGUCAAUUUUUAAGUUUUCAAACCAAACCAAAACCUGCAGUAUACAUUAUCGAUUUUGGUUUGAUUUAGUUCAAUUGUUGAAUGCAGAAGUAAAAACAAUAAAUCUUUUAUAAUGAAAAGAAAAAAGUGAUAACAAUCCAUUGAAGAUGAAAAAUAGUCAGAAUAUUAACAUUAUAAAACUUUCUGUCACUAAAUUUUUUUGAGAAUGAAGCUUCAAAUUUUAUAACCAUUUUGGUUUAGAGGGAACUAGGAAGAGAUAAUGACAUUUCUAGUCCUACCAAAAUUGACAUUGACGCUUAUAUACAUGAAAACAAUAAGAUAAAUAUUUUCGUCUUAUAAAUUUUUGCUUUUCUUUUUUUUUUGGUAGUUGAAAGGAUUUUAUUUAUUAAGAAGCAGGUUCAUCCAUACAUAAAAGAACUGAUCUAAACGAUAUAGUUCCAUUCGUUGUAUCUCCUUCAAGAGCUUUUAGUGUAAAGGAAAGUGAUGCCUCAAAUACAAAACAACUUGUUCAUAGAUAGAUUAAAAAUAAAAUUAGAUAAAACAUAUAUAAGAUCUUUAAAAUUAUUUGUAAAAAUUAUGUAUUAUGUUUGGAUAAUAAUAAAAUAUAUGUAUAUUACUUUUCAGUUCAUAUUUUUCUAACAAAACCAAACCCAAACCAAAACUAUAGGUUUUAAAAAUUGUAAAACCAAAUCAAACAAAACCUAAAUAAAAUUGAUUUAUUUAAUUAAAUUGAAUCGAUUUUUAUCUAAAUCGCGAACACUCCUAUUUGUAUGUGUCGAGAAAAAUUAUAAAGCUCUGUUUAAUUUAUUGUUGUUAGAAACCCAAAUCAUUGGAUUAAAUCGAGUGAAAUGGAUAAAUAGUAAGAAUUAAUUCAUAAUAUAUACUUCGACUAUUGAUGGACUCAAUAUUAUGUAAAACAAACGACCUUUUUAGUUCAAUAUUUGCAAAUAUUUGUGGUCUAAUUUCAGUAACCUACACAAAUUUGUUAUGUCUGCUUAAUUUGGAGUUGAUCAAAUUUCAUUUUGAACAUUAAAAUAGCACAAAUUUAGUAAUAUUACUUGAAUAACGUCAUACAAAAUCAUAUGUCGAAAGCAAAAAAUGGGUAAUGAGAACACCACUAAUCCAUUAUUGUAUUGUGGGAUCCCUUGUAUUAUUUAUAAUGAUGAAAAGACACAACUUUUUUUCCUUUCAAUAUAAAUAUAGCAACUUUAAGUUGGCUUUAAUGAGAAAAAAAAUUAAAUUAUUUUUUCAAUGGGUGGCAAGUGUAACCACGUGACAAUUUAGUCCCUUUAAUUAGCACCUAAUUAAGACUGUGAUUUGUGAUUUGGUGGUUGAAAAUCAUGAGAUUUCAUAUUUAUUUAUUAGCGAAUAUAAAAAUACUAUAUGAUUUUAAUAUAUCUUAAUCUUAUUGGAUAGAAUUAUAAUAUACGUAGAAUCGAUCGAGUUGCACGCUAGCUAAUCUGAACAAAAAAUACAACUUAUUCCGUUUUAAGUUCCGUUUUAAGUUCCAUUUUAUUGUAUACUCUUUAAAUCCAAACGCCAUUUUGAUAACAAUACUGGCAACCGCAUAUCAUAUUAUUAUCCCUAUUUAAUAUAUAUUUCCCAAACUAUAGGGGGCAUUUAUAGUUGUAAUAACAUUUAAUAAAGCCUAAUAAUAGAGAUAAAGUCCACACAUUAUAUAAGCACCAAUAAUAUGCUUACGUCUCAAAUCAAUUACGUAUUCCAACUUCUUUUUUUCUCUUUUUUCAACACCAAAUUUGUAUAAAAAUAAUAAAUUUCCAUUAAAUAAGGAGUUAGACCUGCAAUAUAUAUAAAUUAAGGAUGCAAUUAGACAGGCCAUUGACAAAUUCAAUAUUUGAUCAAUCAUAUGUUUUAUUUUAAAUGUAUUACAUAAAAAAAUGUCAUUAACACGUGGCCGACAAUGUGAUCUAUUAUUUUCUAAUAUCUUUAACCGACUAAUUUUGACAUAAAAACUUCAAAAUUAGAGGAUAAUGAUGUUUAACUAAUUUCCUAUGAGAAAGUGAUUACAAACUUUAUAUAAGUAAAGAAUGAUUAGAUUCAGUAAAUCUAAUGAUUAAGAGGUGUACAAAUUUGGCUUGGAGAAAAUCCAGGGUGAAUUAAUUUAAAUUAUUGAGUAUUGUAAUUUAAAGUAUACAUAGUCAUUCGAUUAUAUUUUUUUCUUUCUUAAAAUUCAAGGUAGGGGGACAGUAUAUGAGUUACAGAAUCGAAUCCCAAGGUGAAAAUUUAUGUAGACAACCAAUCGAGUUACUAAAAAAUUGUCAGUCACUUAGUUAUGCAUCAUUGACAAGUAUUCAAAAAACAUAUGCCAUCAAAUCAUUAAUUGAUAUUCUGUGUAAAUAAGCUAGUGCGGAAAGCUAGGUUAGUCUGGAUAUGGAGUCAUUUUUGUUAGAUUGUGUUUUAUCCGUUACUGUGAGAAUUUUCAACUCAAAUUCAAAUUUAAUUAAAUUUCAGUAUAGAUAUCGGACACUGUAAAAAAACUAAAAAAGAAAAAUACUAAUUUAGGCUUGUGACUAUAGUCCAACUUAUUGGGCUGCAUUUUAUAAGAAAAUGGGCUAUAGAUUUGCUUUAGCUAUGCAGUAUAGAUUGAGAAUAACAAGAAACAAUAGUGGGCUUAUGUAUGAAGAUCGAGAAAAGAUUAACAAAAAAAAUCCCAAAUCAUGUGACUAAUGUUUUACUUCAACUUGAACUGGCUCAGCCACCAAAUGGACCUCACAAGGCCUUAGACAACAAUUUUUUUCCUUCGAGAGUUUUUCGAAAAUAGCCUAUCUAUCUUCAUAAGAUAAUAAUAAAGUCUAUGUACACUUUAUUCUCUAAUCGAGUAAAUUUCAUUAAAUAUAUUAUUAUUUAUAUUUUUAUUAUUAUUAUUUUCAAAGCACACCCAAAACAAAGUUAAUGGUACAAACAAAUCACCGAAUAAAUUUUGAGUUUAACAUAACUCAUAUCCAAAAGCUAACUUAAAGAAAUGGCGAAUCGUAUCAAACAACUUAAUACUGAAACGACAAUUAUUUCAUUUUUUAUAAGUUGUCAUUUCAUAAGUUGUUGGAGCCUAUUAAAUUUUGAGCUAACUGAAUGGAUUUCUCAAUUUCUUUGAGUUAUCUAAUUGUCCACUAUAUUAUCUACUUUUAAAUUAUUUCAACUAGCUAGUAACUUCUUAAUUAAGCUAAAAGGACAGAUUAAUUAAGAUAGAUGAAAAUUAAUUAUUACUCAUUAAUGCUUUGUUUGAUGAGUAGUAUUCACUAAUAUAAUACUAACAGCAAAACAGACAAGUAGAGAUGAAUAAGGUAACAUCCAGAUAUUUGAAACUUUGACAUUUUAAGAAAGAGACAAACCUUAUGAUUGAUGCUUUUGUUUUGGCCCAAUAUGGAUAAAGUAACAACUGAUAAGACUUUGAUACUGAUUAUCAUGUUAAAUAAAUUUCAAAAUUAAAAGUUAACACAAAGAAUGAAGGAUUAUCCAAGAAGAGAAACCUCACAUCCCCAAGAGAGGUGACGUACAUAUGCAAUAUCCAGUAUGAGUUGUUCGUUUUUCUAUCAACACACUGUUAAAAUAAAAAAGAAUAAUUUAACUAAUUUAUCCCUUGUAAAACUUUUUGAACUAUUUAUACUUUUUUAAACGACAUCAUAUUGAACUUAUAACAUAGAACUCUUCACGUUUUGUGAAAUUAGGUCUUAGGCCUAACUCACACCCCAAAAGCUAGCUCAAAGGGAGGAGGAUUGCCCAAGCCUUAUAAAGAGUCCACCCAUCUCAUUAAUCACCGAUGUGGGAUUUUUGUCAUUAUUUAACACGUUUACAUAUAUGAUUCAAAUUCUAUGAAUGAGGGAAGUUUAUUAUAAAUUAUCAGCUUGAUCAUCUGAGGAUUUAACUUCACUUGUUUUUGCCUCUAAAUCAUCGAGAUAAUGUUGAUAUAUAUAUGAUGCAUAUCCCCAUAAUCCCAAUAACAAUGAAAACACCUUCAAUCCAUUCAUUCUAUCUUUCAAGAACACCAUUGCAAAAAUUGGCACAGUUGAAGAUCCCAAAUUGAUUAUCACAUUUGAGAAUAAAGCAGAAGCCUUGUAAACCAAUCCAACUGAUCCAACAGCGUAUAACUGCCAAGAAAUGGCAGUACAAAUCAAGUUUAUAACAUAUGACGAUUUCCCUGUUCUGUAUUCUCCUAUUUCCUUCUCCAAAUCAUUCCAAUUACCGCUCGCGAAAAGCCCAAUCAACGAAGCAAUCGUCACGUAAAAACCUAUGAAAAACGACAUUUUCAUGACUUGUUUUAACGUGUUACUUUUGAAUACCUUUUGGAAUGCGAGUUCUGUUAAUGAGAACUGUAAUGCGUAACCUAGAGAUCCGAAUGUUGUAACUGCAAAUCCGAUCAGCAGAGAUUUCUGAGAUAUUUCACCGCUAUCACCAGUUUCAUUCUGGAAAAUAACAACAGAGGAUGAGAAGGAGAGAAGCACGACGGAGUUGAGUAUAAUUGCUGUGAUUUUAUGUCCGUUGAGGAAGAAGGAGGUGAUGGCGUUGAACGCCAAUUGAGUACCGGAAAUUAGGGAAUAAGUAGAGGCAGGAAGGUACUGUACUCCAACGGUAAAUGACAUAGAGUUCACUACUUGAAAUAAACCAAGGAAGAUGUAAACGGAAGCGCGAACAAAUACACUAGCAUUCACAGGUGGUUCAUUUUGAUUUCUGGUUGCAGAAUAGAAAAUAAAAGGCAGAAGAAUUGGGAAUCCAGCAGUUUGUGCUAGUGUAGCAAUCCAUCUGAUUUUGCCUCCUUGUUCAUAAUAUACUCUGCCCAACAGAGUCCCAGCUGCUUGACCACCAAUAGUAAAAAAUGUGAAGAUAAAUAUUUGUAGCCAUAGUAUAAAUUUACUCGACUGAAAUUUGCUGUUUUUCGCAUUUUCAGAGGACUCUGUUUCCUCUGCUUCUUCAUCUGUCAAAUGAAACAGGGCAACAUAAAAACAGAGAGACCAAAAUCAAAAUUGACUUCUAAUUCAGUGAAUUUGAGCGGGUUUAGCUCGAUCCAUUUCAACCAAACCCGUUUCAAUACUGUGGUUUGAUAUAGGUAACCUUAUAAACUCUAGAUUUAUCAAAAUCGAUGCAUCGGUGAAGCCAAAAAUUCAAAGUAAUAGAUUAAAAAUCAAAUGAAAUAUUUUUUUGCCUGUUUACGUAGUGUAAAUUUUUCAGUAGAGAUUUAAUAUGAUUUUGACUCAAUUGAGAUGACGAUGAAGAAGAAGAGCAACUGACAAGCUAGAUGAUGCAGCAAGUUUUCAUGAGCUCCUUCUUCCAUGCUAACAAAGUUUGUAUAAACCGUUUUUUUCUUCUUUUAUUGAAUGAUCAAUGAACUAUGGACACCCCAACCACAUUUUAUAAUUCAUUCCUUUAAUUUUAAUUUUAUAAUACUAAAUUAAAAUUAUAUCAAAUACGUGUGAUCUUAGAUAUAAUAGAUUUUAAGGAGUGUCAAUUUAAAAAAAGGAAGUAAAAAAAAUUAGAUGUUAGUUGAUAUAUCGUCUUAUAAGUAUUAAUUUGUUAUAAAACCAAAGAAUAUCUUAUUAAUUUAAUAGCGGAUUAGUAAAUUAAAAAAUCCAUAUCUAUUAAACCAAAUUAUUAAGCAAAAUUAAUCAUUUGGUGAACAAUCCUAUUUGGUAGUAUUUACCUAACUUCUGACUUUUGAGUGCUAAAUUCUAAUUUAAAAAAAAUAAAAUAUAAUAAUUUCUACUGAAUAUACAGUACUGUUAGGAAAUCAAUAAUCUAUUUUUUGGAAAUUCAAGAGUAUUGAGCAUAUUUGACAGAAUAGAUUCUUUUUAGACUUUAAUAUAAACACUAAAUAUUAAAUAUUUAUAAAAAAUAAAUAAAGGUCACAUCUCAUAAAGAUUAAAGGACCCCUCCAUUUUUAUUGGUGUGGGUCUCUGUGUACAUUUUUAUAGGUAUCAUCAAUUAUGUAACACACCUAAUUGUAAGUGGAGGCAGGGGCCGGUAAUUGAAUAUUUAAACUACACUCAACGACUAAUGACUUUUUAUUUUAAUGAUAUUUAAAUGAAGAUAAAUAAUAAUACAAAAUAAAAAUAAAAACAGUGUGAAAUUUCAUAAAUAGCUAAGGGAUGAAUCCUAAUAAUCUUCCGUAGUUACAUUUUGUCUAAUUAUGAUCCACAAUUAUUGUUUCAUUUCGUUGGGUUCAUUUUUCGUUCGCAUAUUUAAUUAUUUUUUUAAUAUAUAAUAAAUUAUACAAAUUGACUUUAUACAAGUUACAUAUUAUACAAACUAUGACUAUAGACAAAUAAGUGAUUGUAUACGAGUGUUGAAAUUAUAUAAUUGAUUCGUAUAAAGUAUUGUGGGUGAUACUAAAAAGAAAAAAUAUUACUAAUUUUUUUUUAAAAAAAACAUUUGUAUAAACACAAAUAUAUAUAGAUAUGUACGAUAUAAUAAUAAAAUAAUUAAAUAUACAAAUACAAAAAUAUAUAAAAAUAGAAUCUAUAUAAGUAAGUGUUCUUUGAUUAAACUGUGACCACAACUCAUAAUUAUAUAAAACUAUAAUUAUAUUAAAUAAUAUAUCAAUAAUAUUUAUCAAUUGACCUAACUUUUCCUAAAAUUAAUUAGUUCAACUAAUAUCAACGGAGAAAAGGACAGUACAAUAGGGGGUCCCAAAGGACGAAAUAAUUGAAUCUUUGAGAAGAUCCUAAAGCUUCUUUUUUGUUUUUUUUUAAUUAAAAAAAGAUUCAAAUGUCAAUUUGGACAACGAAAUUAUUGAAUCAUCGAAAAGAUUCUAAAGUUCCUUUCUUGCUUUUUUGGUUGAAGAAUUUUAUUUUACAGCCUUAUUAAAUAAAUUAUAAUUCAUAAAUACGAUACAUAAUAUAUCUUAAAAUAACACAUUAAUGAAUUGAAAUUUUUUUAAAAUAAAUGUUUAUAGUUAUCAGUUCAAAUAUGUAUUAUUUUACUUAGAUUCACUGAUCAACAUGAGUAGUAACUAGUUAUUUUUUAAUAGACAAACAAUCUUUUCAUAUUAAUCUUUUUGGGAAAAAAUAAACAAUUUUUUUUAUAAAAUAUAAAUUUAUAGAUCAACUUUUGUAUUUAUUUAUUUUUUAGGUAAAAUCACUAUUUAAAAUUCUAUAUUAUAUUUCUUAGAAAAUUUGAAAUUUAAAUUUAGAGUGAUUAUCAUGAAUUAAAUGCUCGCUCAAAUUAGAUAAUGUUAUAUCGCAAGCUUUAUUUAUUUAUUUUUUAAUUUUCUAUCUUGUGUUCAGAAUUCAUGUUCCGAUUAAAUUCGAAUUGUGCUACGCAGGGCCGUUAGGGAGUGGUGCCCCAAUAGAAACGCAAUCUUAUUUGAUUACAAGUUAGUGCUAUUUUUGUUAGUGGGGUGAAAGUUUGUCGUGUUGGUUGGUUGUGCGUGAGUUUUUGUUUUAUAAAGGAUAAGGGCAUGCCAUCUUGACAAAUGACACGUAACGUAUAAAAAGUCUAUCCUCGACCCCACUAAUUGGCGGAUUAAGGAUUUUAAAAUUGUGAGUGCUUCAAGUCCAUUAAACCCUAACACAACAGAUGCAAUAUACAACUUUGACUAUCCACAAAUGACCACCGCAUCAAUCAAUUUUUGAUAUGAGAAUAAUGGGUGCUCGAGCAGCCAGAAUAAUCAAUAUGAAAUCGAACUUAUUUUGACCACCGAAUAUGAAAAUUUUGGAAACCAAACGCACCCUUUAUAUGGAAGAACAAAAGAUACCUAAAUACAUAGCCAGAAGCAAAUCCAAUAUAUAAACAGCAGUUCAAUUUACACAGAAAUCAUAAAAUUUUACAUUUAAACAAUAAGCUAUAAAUUUACACAUUUAACUUGUCAAUCUAAAUAAGGAAGCUAAAUCAUUCAGAUAUAUAAGUUUCUUGAAUGAAAGGUUUGUUAAAAAUCAUCAUCCUGAUCAUCUGAGGAUUUAACUUCACUUGUUUUUGCCUCUAAAUCAUCGAGAUAAUGUUGAUAUAUAUAUGAUGCAUAUCCCCAUAAUCCCAAUAACAAUGAAAACACCUUCAACCCAUUCAUUCUAUCUUUCAAGAACAACAUCGCAAAUAUUGGUACAAUUGAAGUUCCCAGAUUGAUAAUCACAUUUGAAAACAACGAAGACGCCUUAAAAACCAAUCCAACUGAUCCAAGAGCGUAUAAUUGCCAAGCAAUAGCAGAACAAACUAAGUUUAAAACAUAUGACGAUUUCCCUGUUCUGUAUUCUCCCAUUUCCUUCCCCAAAUCCCUCCAAUUACCGCUCACGAAAAGCCCAGUUAACGAAGCUAUCGUCACGAAAAAACCUAUGAAAAACGACAUUUUCAUGACUUGUUUUAACGUGUUACUUUUGAAUACCUUUUGGAAUGCGAGUUCUGUUAAUGAGAACUGUAAUGCGUAACCUAGAGAACCGAAUGUUGUAGCUGCAAAUCCGAUCAGCAGAGAUUUCUGAGAUAUUUCUCCGCUAUCACCAGUCUCAUUCUGGAAUAUAACAGCAGAGGAUGAAAAGGAGAGAAGCACGACGGAGUUGAGUAUAAUUGCUGUGAUUUUUUGUCCGUUGAGGAGGUAGGAGGUGAUGGCGUUGAACGCCAAUUGAGAACCGGAGAUUAGGGAAUAAGUAGAGGCAGGAAGGUACUGUACUCCAACGGUAAAAGACAUAGAGUUUACUACUUGAAAUAAACCAAGGAAGAUGUAAACGGAAGCGCGAACAAAUAUGGAAGGGUGGUGAAUGGUUCGUUCAUCUUCAUUGUGAUUUUUGGGUGAAGGAUAGCAAAUGAAAG